RNAcentral lists this long non-coding RNA (47405 nucleotides) under Fragaria vesca (wild strawberry). RNAcentral's name for it is "long non-coding RNA (FVES_LNC002018)". Lineage: Eukaryota; Viridiplantae; Streptophyta; Magnoliopsida; Rosales; Rosaceae. The record is from RNAcentral.
UGGCGGAGGAGGUGCCAAAGGCGGUGGAGGAGGAGGGGCCAAAGGUGCUGGCGGCGGAGGAGCCAAAGGUGCUGGCGGCGGAGGAGCCAAAGCUGGUGGUGGAGGAGGAGGGCGAGCGUCCUCGGGUGCGAGUUCUGGUGGAGCCAUGAAGGCCCCUGGAGGAUCAGGCGAUACAAUUUCCAGGGCGGCUUUCGAAAGCAACCCUCAGGGCUACUUUCAGGGCCUCCACUCUAGUAGCAAAUAGUAGUAGCUAGGUCCUUGACGCACGUACGUACGUACUAUGUAUGUGUAACAUAUAUGUAUAAAGAAGUACCAGUAUACGUCUGUAGUACCGGACUACUACUGGUACCGGUACGUCGUAUUCUAGCUUGGUUUUGUUAUACGGCGUUUGUAUGUGCACGUAGUUGUAUGAAAAUAAAAAGAGUACGUACCUCUGGACUGGUACAUGCUCUUGCUUUCUGUUCGUUUUUUGGCUGUCUUUCUCAUAGACAAGUCUUUGCAUACAAGAACUAUUUCGAAAGCGGAUAGCAGCUAGCUUAGAAAACCGAUUAGCACUUACUAGGGUUUGCACUUUGCAGAGGGACUCUUCCAGGAUGACAACAUGCAACAACAACAAUCAAGUCAACAACCGAUAUUUUCAUUUUUAUGUCAAUUUUUUUGUUUUUUCCCUCAGUCAAUGUGCAUUCAGAAGAAAAAGCUCAUACAUUGAAGUUGAAACGAAUUGACGAAACCCCAGAUGAAAGCUUCAUAGGUAAUAGGAAAAGCCGAGUAAAUCACAACGGUCCGCUAAUAAUCAUAGACUUGAAAUUCGCAUAAGUGCAUGCACUGUGGCUAUGCAUUAUAUCUGACCCUAUCAAUAUAUAAGCACCCUCCAAGAGCAGAAAGCUACAAUAUCAAUUGGGGUUAGUCAGCACUCAGCACAAAGCGCGAUCACUCUGUUAGAGCUAGGUACAAAUAUGGGUGCUGCCGCUGCUGCAUGUGUAGUUACUGGUGCCCUUGUUUUAGUACUUGUAGUGUGUGCAAUCUAUGGAGAUUCUGAAGUAGCUGUUCCAUCGGGCUCGUCUGCGGAUCAAACGAGAACAAAGAAGCCAUCGAGGAUGAGACUACAUGAUGAAUAAGCUAGCGGUUUGGAAUGGCUGCCAUGCGUUCAUAUAUUAAGUUAAUGUUCCCAGUCUCUCUGCUUUCUGCUAAUGCAACGCCUUAGCUUGGAUCCUAGAUUCCUAGUGUUAUUUUCAUUAAUUUUAAUGUCUUGUUUUCUCUAUCGUAUAUUCAUACGUGAAAAUGAUGAUAGUUGUUGCUGGGCUACAUGAAGUGCUUAUUUACAUCGUAUAUAUGCGUACGGCGUGCAAGCAAGUAAAAAAGAAACACAAAAUAUUUACAUCUCUAAACAAAACAAAAUGUUGGAAAUCUCUUAACUACGACUCGUCGAAUUUCCUGAACCAAUGCAUGGAUGCAACACCAGUCUAUUCAAUCAGGUCAGUUUGAUCUAAGCCGGCCACACGAGGAACUACAUAAACGACACGUCGAUAUUACUUAGAGACUUAACCAAGAAGAUAGCGAAGGGGAUAAGAACCAUGUACAGUAACAUGAUAAUUUUGACAGCUUACGUGUUUAUCAUCGAGGCGAGCCAAGACAGUUACACGAACAAGGUAAAUGGAAGGCCAAUAUAUUUCUGCAACGCGGUUUAUAUAAAGCGCUAGCUUUAGCCACACACAAAAAAAAAAAAAAAAAACAACUAGCUUUAUGCCUUUAUAUAAAGCACUGGCUUCUCCGAAACUCUAGCUUUGAUCCAACGCUAGCUACCAUUAAUAUAAAGCACCACCGUCCGAGUACAUAUCCUUCACCAGAUCUAAGUGAGUGAACUGUGAACCUGCAUUUGGAGUGCUUUAUUACAACAUGGGAGGUGUCUUGGGUACUGGUGGUGGUUGGGGCGGAGGAUGGGGUGGUGGUGGCGGAGGACAAACGUCCUCGGGUGCCAAUUCUGGUGGAACCAUGAAGGCCCCUGGAGGUUCAGGCGCUACAAUAUCCAGGGAGGUUUUCGAGAGCAACCCUAAGGGCUACUUUCAAGGCCUCCGCUCUGGUAGCAAACAGAAUAAGUAGGUCCUGGACGUGCGUACGUACUAUGUAUGUGUAACAUAUAUAUAAAUAAGUACCAGUAUAGGUCUGUAGUAGUACUGGACUACUGGUACCGGUACGUAGUACUGUAGCUUGCUUUUGUUAUAUGGCGUUUGUAUAAUUGUAUGUGUAUAUGUAUGAAAAUGGAAAGAGUACGUACCUCUGGACUGGUACGUGCUCAUGAGCUUGCUACCUUUGUUUUUCAUAAUUAGAUAAUUUGUUACUCUAACUAUUAAAUAUGUUAAUACACUACCUUUUUAUAAAAUUUAUUAAUUUAGGCUUUCAAGAUUAAUUAAUUUAUUUAUUAAAAUUUCAAUAUCGACUAACUUUAAUCUGAGCCAAAUCUUCUUCAUGUAAAAUCUACUUUAUUUAGAAUUUAGUAAUUCAUGUUUGGAUAAAAAAAAUUAACAAAAAUAUAACAAGUUGGCUAAUUUUAAAAGGGUGUUUCUAUUGUCACCCUACAAACCACUUUGUUCACCUCACGUUCUUUUCACACCCCGUUUAUAUAUUUUUAAUUAUAAGUCUAUUUUGUUCACCCAUUUACAGUACCUAAAAUACUCUUUUUCUAUUUUUGCUUUGUUCACCCUAAAUUCUUUUUUCACCUUACAUAUAUUUUUUUCAAUUUCAGAUUUGCUCUUUCACCCAACAUUCGAUCUCUUCUCAACCCGCCUAUAUAUUUUUUAAUUUUAAUUUUAAUUUACUUUAUUCACCGAUUUACAAUAUACACAAUAUCAGUCUAUUCCAAUAGCCAUUGAAUACCAAAAACAAAAUGAAAUUGAAGAAAACCAUAAGAUUAAUAUCAUUUGGCCGGGUAAGUCGAAUCACAAACUUAAUAAUAAAAAUCAUAUUAAAGUAUAAAUCUGAUCAAUUAAAGAACAAGAAAAAACUCUCAAACUUAACAACUCAUUAGUAUCUGUGGAUAUCAAAAUGCACAAUAUCUGUAAACUCUACUUUGAAAAAGCUCUGACGCCGAUGAAAAAAAAAUUCGAAUAUAUAUAAGUGAUCGAUUAGACAUGAAAAUUUACAUACAAAAUUGAUAUGAGAAAUAAUAAAUAAAGGGAUAGACGAAGCAUCAACAAAGAAAAUAUAUAUAUAUAUAUAUAAACAAUUCACCUCAUUUUUAGUUGAAUGCUAGCUAGUGUCUUCUUCACACUUCAUAGAAAGAUCGAAUAUGAUAAAUUCUGGGUAUAAGGUUUCUGAAAUACGUGUUUAUCUAAAAAUAAUAAUUUGUAAUUUGUAACAACUUAUUGUCCCUUGCUAUAAUUUUACAUUAGGGUAUAUUAGUCAUUCAAUAAAUCAACAACGUGUGGGGUGAACAAAUUGGUUUAUGGGGUGGCAAUAGACGCGCCCUUUUAAAAAUAUAAAGUAGUAAAUUAGUAUAACUAAUAGUUAGGGUAGCAAAUUAGCUAAUUAUGAAAAGUUAGGGUAGUAAAUUGACUGAAAUAAAAGUUCGAGUAGCAAAUUGAUAUAUAUUAAGGUGAAAGGUAGAGUAGUAAUUUGGUUAAAACCUCUUUUUUGUUUUUGUCUUUUUUUUCCUUUUUCUUUAUUUGAAACGGUUUUACCAUAAGUUGAAACGAAACCAUAUCAUGUAAUAGGAAAAGUCGAGUUGAGUAAAUCACAACGCUAGCGGCUAUUAACCAAGCGCAGAUUUGCAGACUUUAAAUUCCCUUUACUGGGAAUAUGCAUCAACUUUUACCCUAUCAAUACAUAAGCACCUCCAAUUAAGUACAACAACUACAGUAUCAAUCGGGGUUAGUCGAUCAGCACACUUCACCUUGAUAUAUAUUAGAUGCAAAAUAAUAAUAUGGAAGCUGCAGAGGUUGUUGCACUUGCAUUAGGCGCCAUUGGCGCCGUUGCACUGUUGGUGUGGGGUUUCUCCGGAGAUUCUGAAUCUGCUGCAUCUCAAGUACUUGUUUCAUCGGGGUCGUCUUCGGAGCCAAAGAGAACAAAGUAGGGCUGGGCACUUAGUACCGGAAUCCCAAUCCCGUACCGGUCCCGUCCCGAAAGUUAGCGGGACAGGACGAGAUAGGUUUUGAAAAUAGUAAUCCCGUCCCGUCCCGUCCCGUCCCGUUUUAACAUUACCAUAACGGGACGGGAUGGGACGGGACUAUCCCGAAAAAUCCCGUCUCGUCCCAUAAUAUUAGAAUACUUGAUUUUAUUCAUUUUAUACUUGAUUUUUGGGUUGCAUGGUGUUACAAUGCACUCAACCACACUUAAUUUGGUCUAAAAUAAUACUUUUAAUUUCAUUCAUGUUCUUUUUUUUGCUUGUGUGAUUUUGGAUAUUUUUAGUUGUUGUUUGAGGGUUAAUUUUUAAUGUGGGAUGUUUAGUACUUUUAAAGUGGGAUGUAAUUUAGCACCUAUGCACCUAUGUUCUUGUUGUAUUUUAGUACUUCUAAUUUCAUCAAUGUUUCUUUUUUUUUGUUAUGUGUUUUGGAUUAUUUUUUUNNNNNNNNNNNNNNNNNNNNUGCUUGGAGUUUCUCAACCCGUUUUUCCACCCGUGGUGGUGUUUGAUAAUCAAUUAAUUUGUUCUUGAAAAAAAAAAAAAUUUGUCGGGAUCGGGACGUACGGGACAGAUUUUUAAAAACACCUUCCCGUCCCGUCCCGUCCCGUUCUUUUAUUUUCGGGACGGGACGGGAUUCACCAAAUCCCGGCCCGUCCCGUCCCGUGCCCAGCCCUAGAACAAAGAAGCCACCCAGCAUUCGUGAGCUUGAGGGAAUCGUAAGCGCUUUGGGACGUCGUUGAUGCCAUGGAUGCAUAUCAAUAAGUUAAUAAUGUUCUUAAUUAAUGGUCUAUGUUUUCUGCUAAUGGAACCCCUUAUCUUGGAUCCUACUCGCAUUUUGUCUUGCUUUUCUUCGUUUUAAUAUCUUCUUUUCUCUACUAAGCAGUGGUACAUCCAUCAAUCAUAUACGUACACACAAUGAAAUUAAUUUAUAUAUGCAUUUAUUUAUAUCAUUACAAAUUAUAAGUUUGAUUCCAAGUCAUAAACUUGGAUCACGGAUCAGUCAAAUGGGAUUGGAACCCUAAACCACAAUCCGUACCCCAUCUCACUUUAUUUUUCAUUGUUAACAUAGUUGGUAAAGUUUGUACUUUUAUUUGAUUAGUCAUCACGGGAGCACUUCUGUUGCGGACAGUUGUGGACUCAAUACAGAUUUUCAAACUAGGCUGUUGGAUUGUACGUAUGAAUGGUUUAUAUUUUAAAAAAAAAUACAUGUCUUUAUCAUGUGACUGCAUCACACAACAAAUCUUUCUCACUCCUCUUUCUUUGUUUUCUGGAAUUCUGGGGAAAAUUAACAGAUUUUUCUCUUUCCUUAACAAUAUCCACUUCAAUCCCUCCUUCACUUAUGGGCUGCUAUUACAGUUUUCAGUGGGAUUUCAUUUCUUUCUUUAGUGGGAUUCAAUCCUUACCAAUAUCUACAAGACUAUAAUUGUUGAUAUUAUGCCAAAAACCAAAGCAAGAGGGAGAGCUGAUAUAUCUCGGACACAGGAGAGAGAGAGAGAGAGAUCUAGAGAGAGAGAGAGAGAGGUNNNNNNNNNNNNNNNNNNNNGAGAGAGAGAGAGAGGUGGUAUUGGGUAAGGUUAGUUUUAUUUUGUUUUCUAAAAUAUAGACCAUCCAUGUAAUUUGAUAGUUAAAAUCAAAAGUCCUUAACAAGUCCUCAAAUAAGAAGUCCUCAUUAGAAGGGCUCCUAGUCAUCACACACCGCUCACAGUUUUGAUUUGAUCAUUUCUUAUUUUCCUAUUCUCACUACGCAAUCACUCUGAUCAGUAGCUCUUGACAUCCACCACAUCUAUAACGGUCAUAAUUAAAGGGAGCUUUUAUUCAUAUGCUCAUACCUCUAAAAACUUUACUUGAACCUCCUUGCUUAAUGGACCUCCAAUUUACUUUUACAAAUAAAUAAAAUGUUAUUUACACCUCUCCAAUUUUCUCAAAACGCCCAUAGUUCAAUAAAAUCAAUAAAAAUCUCUUUCUUUUAAAAGAUUCUCUUCAUACCUCCAUGUUUGGUAGUUAGACCUAGCCUCCUUCGAUUUUUAGGCAUCUGACAAUCAUAUUUUGCUUUCAAAAUCCAUCCAAUUGGUUCAAACCUAUUAUUAGCUAUAUCGAGCCGAGCUUGUUUGAUCAGACACAAUAAUAAUUAGCAAAUAAACAACUCUCCAAUAAGUUCCUGAAGCUCAUAAUUGAUAUUACAACAAAUGCGUUCAAACGAAAAUCAAAAAUACAUUGACAAAGAGAGGCUAAGAAACAAAAAAAAUAUGUCUAUAAAUUGCAUCAUCUUUCAAAAUGUCAUGCAUAUUGCAUAAUGUUUCAAGUUUUUCGUAAAAUCUUACUUAAUCAUCGAUUGUGAAUGAUUCUUGAUUUAAAUUUAUCUUUUCAACUUUUAUUGAUGUGGUUGACAAAGUCAAUACUAACUUAAAAAAAAACUCAAGUAGCACUUUUGGAGAUAUAAUUAGAAGCUUCCAUAUUUAAAUUGUCAGCUAGAUAAAACAAAAAAACAACUUCCUAAUUUAUCCCUUUCAUAGAAGACCAGGUCUAGGGUUUUGCAACUUUCCUAUGAUCUUUCUUCUAUAUAUUUUGUAUUCUCGAAGGAUAUUUUUUAUUUGGUUAGAUUUUAUAGAUAAAAUCAUAAACAUUAUCGGGUUAUCAUCCAUUAAUUUUUUUUUUUGACAAAGGACGAGAAAUCAAUUUUAUUGAUCACAACUUAAGAGUAUGAACAACAACAUGAACACGAUCCGCCCGCAGGGGCUACGUGAAAAUUGAAUCAUGCAAAAUUACCUAGUAGACCUACCUAGUAGCUAGACACUACGCAAUCUCUAUGUUGAGACCAUGGGAUGAAGCUCUAUGAUCAAAUAAUAACGUCUUGGCAGCAAAAGAACCUAACCAUCCACCAAGACUCAAGUAGGAAGGGACAAAUCCGCAGCCCAUCAUUAUUGACCACUUCCAGGACCACCCUACGCAGAGGGGGCAACCCCAGAGCAUCAAGUAAUCCUAAUUAAAAGAAAAAGCCCAAAACUAAGGAAUGCUCUAGACCCGCAAGUAGUCCUGGUUUAAGAUAAUUAAAAACAAAAAUAACAAAAACAGAAAUUGAGCCAGCCCAAUAACAGAAUUCAGUCCAAACUUCUAAAAGUAUGGCCCAAGCUCGAACCCUAGGGACAUGAAGAUCAAGGCAUCAACCAACCCAGACCAACCUUGCCGCCACCGUCGCCGGAAAACCAACCAUUGCACUCUCGCUCCUCUUUAGCCGAGACACCGCCAUCACGUUUUCAUUAGACCCUUCACAGAUCAAAGACACCAAGGUCACAAACACACAGCCAUCGUGCCAACAUAGAUCGGCAACCCGAUCCGAGCCAACUCGUGUAUUCGCGGUUGGAGCACUCCAAUUCGCCGUCAGACCAACAAAACCACAACCCGCCAUCACCUUUGACGCCAAACCAACCCACCACCACUCCCACGACUCCGAAGCAGCCUUGCCAACUCAAAAGACCCAACCACCAAUGUCAACCACCUUGAUGUCACUCUCCCUCAUCGUCGAUCUUACCAUACGAGACCAGAACACAAGCUCGAAGGGUUAUCAGAUUCCUUCUGGGGCGACAACGACAUCGGACGCACCGCCGGACGGAGAAGGAAGACUUUUUGAAAACCCUAUCCAUUAAUUUGUUGAAUUUUUUUAUUUUACUGUUGCCCAAGCUAACAACCAUAUAUGGUUAGUGAGUAGGAAAUCAGCAUAGACUUCAUUUGCAUCAUGAGAUGUAUGGAUAUAUAUAUAUAUAUAUAUAUAUAUAUAUAUAUAUAUAUAUAUAUAUAUAUUGCUAUAAAGUGGCAGAGAAUGAGGUUUAGUCCCCACUCCCCAGUGUCCUCCUAAGUCCUAACUAAGGGGGGUCAUGUCCUAUAAGGCUUCAUUGUUUCAUGGAAAGUAAGCAUCAGGAAAUGAAAGUUGUUCAUUUCCAGUGUUUGGGAAAGCACAAGGAAAGGAAACACUUUCUUGAUUCAUGGGAAAAUAUGGGGAAAGUGGUUCCCUCCAAAAUCCUAAUGAACCACUUUCCUUUCUUCUUUCCCAUUUGUUGAUACCUAAAAAAUCAAUAUUUAUGCUCAAUGGAUAUUCUAAGCUCAAUAAAGAAAUACACAUGCAAAUCACAUUCGAAAUACAAAAGUUACAUAUUUAUUCGAAUAUUUAUGCCAUGCAUGUGGAUCUAAGCCACAACUACGCUCUUAUAGCUUACAAGUUUGGGUGUGGUGUGGAAGGUAACGGAAGUACAUGAGGCUUAUUCUCGGUUUUGGUUAUUGGUGAUUUUGGACUUAGGACCGAAAUCCAUGCCCAACAAUCUAAACCGUUUAAUGGACUUGCAAAUAUGAGAUAAUCCAAACCCAUAUGCUUAACCUAAUCACCUACCUUAACCCUAAUGCAAUAAUCUUUCUACCCGAUCAAACAAGCAGUAUUUUCUUUAAACCCCGUAGUAAGUCUAAUCCUCUUCUUCUACACUAAGCACAAGUCCCCAUCAGCCUUUUCUUUUACUCUGUUCUAAGCUCUAGCCUCCACAAGCUAUUCAAAUAGACACAUCUAUCAACACACAACAACAGCUUUCCUUAAAAUAUGUUGCUCCAAUUCCAACUUCACACAUAACAACUUGUGGUCCUACGGUGUUUUGUAUAAUUGAACUCAACAUGAUACAUCUCUUUGAUUGUCCAGCAGACUUGCCUCAUUCACCUGUGUAUUAGCCUCACCCCUUCCAGCCUAUAAAUUAAGGCCUUAAACACAACACAACUCUCACGCAGCAGAACACAUACCUACAACCCAAUGCAUCCCACAAGCAAGCCUCAAGCAUCAUGCCAAACAUCCUUCACUCCAAAAACCAGCUUCACCUUUAAACAGUCUCAAACUCAUCCGCCACCACCAAAACCUUUUUCCCUCCUCACCGUAGCAAGUCUCUCAUCUUCUGUAAUUCAUGUGCUUCUAGCUCCCACGCCACUUGCCAUCUUGCAAGCCUUUUUUAUGUACUUUGUUCAUCUAUCAUGCAAUCAAAAUCACAUCACGUUCAUGCCUCUAGAUCACAAGCAACAUAUCACUGCAGCAGGCUAUCAUCCCCGUAACAAGCCAAUAUUACUGCAGGGGAGAUCUUAGGGAAAACACGCACAAAGCUCUUUGAAGCUUUAGGCCUAGUUCUUGAACUCAGAAGGGGUAGAAAGAGGAAAUCAAGUCAUUCAAGCAAAUCUAGCAACCUCUAUUCAAAAUGACCCCAACACCUGCAUUUAUUACUCAUAACACAAUAUUUUAUUAUAUUAAAUCUCAACUCUUUAACAACUUUCCAAUAGAUUUUCCUGGUGUUACCAAAUAUCGGAAUGGAAAGUUUUUGUAAAAUUUCAUUCUCGUUCCCUUUCUCUUCCUAUAGGAAAGAGGAAUGAACCACUUUCCAUGAACCAAACGAGGCCUAAAUAUAAUACUUAGGUUGGGUUUUAGGUCAUGUGUUAGUACCAUGUGCCUUACACAUUGAACUACUAGGGUACAACAUCUAAAGAAGAUCAUGCACGACCAUAAAUCAAGGACCCCAUGUUGUCGCUUAAAGCAAUAAUGUAACACCCUGACCCGGGUGUUAGAAGAAUAAACGAAUAAAAUAAAAAAAGAAAUCCUAAAUCGAAAAUGAGAUAGGAUCUCAUAAUCAAACAAAGAAAAUGUUUGUUGCGUUUGGAACCUAAAUUUUGUUUUGUUUAUUUGCGGCUGCACCCGAAACUUGAUCAGGCUGCCUACGUACCCUUUUAAAGGGAUCAAGCCACUCGUAGUUCAACAUUUUAAUCUACUUCUCUACCUUCAUUAACAACAUCACAUUUACCACCAUAAGUCCAAAAUUAAAACCCUGCUUACGGACUCCUAAGAACCAUUUCAUGAUACACACCAAUUUAAAAUAUUUUCUUCUAUACCCAUUAAAUCAAAUCAACCCGGCCAUACAAAGCAUCAUGCAUCAACAAAUCUAUACCAAUUUAUUAUCAUUCUAAUAUAAAGUUCCAGGAGAAUAAUUAUACUCAUCAACUUAACCAAACCCCACACUUAACUCGCAAAACAACCUACUCAAGUGCCAAAGAGUGUGUAUAAGUACGCACACAUACUUAUAUACAUAUAAAUAUAUAUACAUAUAAAUAUAUAUAUAUAUAUACCCCAUCAAAAUUUCCGUUAGAAUAAUAUAAAACUCAACUUAUGCAAAUCAUCAACAUUCAUUCUUUCACCUUGAACCCAAGUUUACUAAACAUUCUAACUAGAUUUACUAUGGACACCCAUUAGAUAUACUAUGGACACCCAUUUCAACUAAAACCAAUCCCAAAUCCAUACAUAACACUCCAAUAUCCACUUCAAUGCAUAAGCACAAUCCAACAACUGUCUAACAGUAAUAUUCAUAUACCCGGUUAUCAAUUUUAACCGUUAAUAUCGCUAGUCUUCGGAAAAUCCGAAACCUAACCUACAUUACUCCAAAAAUUGCUAACUUUCCACCAAUGGGCUUCUCUCAUUUUUAACAAUUUAAUAAGCAUGAAAAACUGCCCAAAAAGUGGCAACACCGCCGCCCGCUCCGCCGGCGGCGGCGGCCAAUCUCCGGCCACCCCCAAUCGUCACCAAAAUUUGACAGAACCUUCCUCUCAACAUUUCGAACAACUUUCAUGAACAACACUAAGCUCAAUUCUAGCUCUAAAUAGUUCAUUUAAUCAAGAACAAUAAAACCCGAUUUGGGGCUAAAAACCCUAAAAUUUCGAAAUCUCAAAUUCUCCUCACACACACCAUGAAUCGAGUUACAAGCUUCUAGAGGAAUGUUAUACUAAUCAAACCCAACCUAAUCAUAUAAAGAACUCACCGAUUGGUGGCCUAAGGAGGGAGAAAUCCGGCUAAAACAGCGACGAACAGUCGUACCUUCUCGCCGUGAUUUCUCCCAAAAAGCGGCGAGAGGGACGCUAUCACCACUCUAGAUCGAUAGGUCUCCUCCUUAGCUUCCUGCCGAUACCCGGAUCGCCGCCCAAUUCGGCCUGACGGCGGCGCACGAAGCGGAGAACAGUGGCGGGAGAGAGAGGAUCGCUCGGGAGGAGAGAGAGAGGUGCGGUAAGUUUCUGAUUUUUCUACCUCCCACCUUCGGUAAGUUUCUCUUUUUAUACCCUUUACCAAAACAGUAACCUCCCGUUUUUAGACCAUAACUUUCUCAUACGAACUCCGAUUUGAGCGUGCCACGUGUCCACGAACUCGUAUUAACGUUCUCUACGACUUCCAUAAAGAAAGUUUUCCCAAAUUAUCGACUUAACAAAAAGUAAACUUUUUUGGUCCUUUACGGUAAAACAGUUACAAGAAACAAUAAUUGAAAAUUUACUAUAAACUUCAUAAAUUCACAGAGCAUAGCUCGUCGCUCCGGAAAAUAAUCCGGGCAUACCGGUGAGCUCGUAUAAACGUGUACCACGACUUCGGAGUUUUAAAUCCACUAUUUAUCGUUUUCAGAAAAACUCGAAAACAACUCGAGCAAUCACUAUUUAAAUCUCUGAGCGCUAAUAAAGAAAAAUCUGUGGUAACUCAUAACCCCGAACAGUAACCUUUUUGGUACGGGGUAUUACAAAUAAUAAUAAGAAACUUCUUCCAUGCAGCGCUCCAUUGCCCAAGCAGAUUGUAAUUGUAUCUGUUCCUGUUCCGACGUAGUCGUACUAGAACUUGAGUUGUUGGAGCUUCCAUGUUCUUGUUCUUCUGAGAAUGGGUUAUGAAAGCCGUCACCAAAAUUACUCUCACCAUCUUGAGUGGGGAGCCGCCUCAAAAUCUCUUCCAUCAUUCUGUGCAAAUUCUCAUUGGACCGCUUCAACUCAUCUAUCUCACCACGUUGAUGAACAUCAUCAACAUGAGCUGAACGCCUACGAGUUCCACGCCCUCAUACCAUGAUGGCUAUUAAUAGAACGCACCCUCCAAGAACCGGCUUUGACAGCAGAUUGCCCGCUCUGAUACCACUUGAUGCAGGUGUAUACAGAGAGGAGGAGGGGGGGGGGGGUUUGGAUCCGGGAAUCACUCAACCAGGAAAGAGGGGUUUUUUUUUGGAAUCACUCACCAAAGAAAACAGAGAAUAUACUCUGAAGCAAACUUUCAAUAACAUUAAUCUGCCCAACAAGGCCAAUGUUACAAGAUAUAUAUAUACACACACACAUAGAGGAUGUGAAGCGGACGUCCGCACUCGGUUUAAAGUGCGGACGUCGUCCGUUCUCCGCCGUCUCACGCCAGCGACGACUUCUCUCCUUCCCGGACGACAGCACAGACUUCCAGGACGGCUUCUCUCCUUCCAGGACUGGCCGGCGACAAGUUUUCCGGCCAACCUUGAUCAAUCAUGGUGUUUUCCGUCCAGCGCUUCAGUCCUGGAAUAAGAGAAACCGUCCUAGAAGCCUGUGCUGUCAUCCGAGAAGGAGAGAAGCCGUCGCCGGCGUGAGACGGCGGAGAACAGACGACGUCCGCACUUUAAGCCAGAGUGUGGACGUCCGUUUCACAUCCUCUCUGUAUAUAUAUACAUAUAUAUAUACACAGGCUGGUUCCAAAGUGCACGGCCGUGCUUUUACAAAACUGUGCACGAAUCUUUUUCAGCCGUUCAUUGUUUUAAAUGACAAGCAACGGCUAAGAUGAAAAGUCUCUCUUAAAACCCAAAGUGGGUCAAAUAUAUAGCAUUGCCCGACUGCUCGACUCUUCAGUCUCUCUCUCUCUCUCUCUCUCUCUCAACGAUCUCGUCUCACACUUCUCCAGCCAAAAUCGUGAAAUUCCAAUUCAUGUCUUCUCGAUCUCGCCUCUGGUUUCACGAUUGGUGACAAGCCUAACUUUCUCUUUUCCUUUCUCUCACAGAAAUUGAAGUACUCGAUCAUAUGAUAUAUAUCAAUGAUGGAGCUUUGGCCCUAAAAUUGGAGAUCUGGGGAAGCACGAAAACUCAUCUAGAGUUACUCAAGUAUGGGUUCUCUCUGUUUUGAUAUACUUGAUUUCUAAUUACAAAACAUAGGGUUGUUUUUGUUCUUUUUAUAAAAGAUGUUGUAAUUGGGAAUUUUUUUUCCUUUCAUUUCUACUGGUGAUAGAGAGAAGAAGGAAACGAGGAGGAAGAAAGAAAAGAAAGAAGGGAACAACGGAAGGGAAAGAAAAAGGGGAAGAAAGAAAGGAAGUUGAGUAGGGAGCAGAAAAUUUGGGAAAUCAAAGAAGAUUGGGAGUUUGGCAGAUUCUUUCUUGUUUCAGUUUUAUUGUGGUCUUGAUAGUUUGAGGUGAGUGGCUAUUCUCCUUACAAUUUAUGUGGUUAUGAUUCUCCUUGUUUAGUCUACCUUGCUAAAUUAAGAUCGAUGAUGGUGAGAUUCAAUUGUGAGGGACUCCUUUGUUUUACAACUACACUUGUUUUUGUUAUUUGCUUUAUUGUGGCUCUGUCAAAAGUUAUGAUUCUGUACAUAAUUUGGUUAUGUGUUACUGUUUACUUUUUGAUAGAUGAAUGAGAUGUGGAUUUUGUGUGUUUGUGUUGUGAUCAGGUCAAUACCUAUUACUUGGAGCUAAUUUGAGAGUUUUCUAUCUUCAUCUGAAUUGGUGUUUAUGAUUUCACGUUUUGUUGUGUUUACUUUGAUUGAUAUAUAACAGGGUCUUCUUAGUGUGAGAUUUCAUAUUUAUUUAAGAGUCUCCAAUUGCUUAGCGGAUUAGUAUUUAUGUUCUGGUUUUCUCUUAUUGUUGCAGCUAGCAUUGUUAGCAUAUACAAUCUGGGCACUCUUCUUGUCUCAUAGCUAAAAGGAAAUGAAGCUUGUCUCGACAGUUUAUUACUUUGCAAAUCAAUUUGACGCAGAGACAUAUUCAUAGUUCGAUAACAGAUUGUGGAAAGGAAUGUAAUUUGUAGAUGAAUGUUGUAUUAUUAACCCAUCAGAGAUUACAUGAAUUUUGUCAAUUGUUCCCUAUCUAUUGAAUUCAGUUUCAUCAUCUUUUUGGUGUUUCUUGUUGGUGUUUCAUUACAGAGAAACUGAUUGAAUCCUUCUAGUUUCAGUUAUGCAUAGCAGUAACAUAUGUACCACUGGAGACUUCAAUUGCGUAUACCAAUAACAUAAGUUGGAAUAAUACUGAGAAUGUGGAUCAUGCUCAGGGAUUUAUGUCAAUUUGGUUGGAGUUGGGAAUAAUACUGAGAAUGUGGAUCAUGCUCAGGGAUUUAUGUCAAUUUGGUUGGAGUUGGGUAUAUGAGUUGCACACUUGUUCAAAGGCAUUGUCUAUGCAAUACUUCAUUUAUUUUUGACUUUGUGCAAUACCUAUGAACUUCAAAACUGGCAGCAGUAUAUGCAUACGCCAAAAUGACAGUGCAAUACCUUUGUAUCCACCAAAACUGGCAGCAGUAAAUGACAGCAACUACUGUAAUACACCAACAUUGUUUCUUUAAAGGACAGUAAAAUGACCAGUAGUAUAUGCAUACAGCAAAAUGACAGCAACGCCAAAAUGUUCAUACACCAAAACUGGCAGCAGUAAAUGACAGCAACUACUGUAAUACAUUAACAUUGUUUCUUUAAGGACAAUAAAAUGACCAGCAGUAUAUGCAUACAACAAAAUGAUAGCAACACCAAAAUCACAGCAAAAUGACAUAUACACCAAAAUGACAGCAACACCAAAAUCACCGCAAAAUGACAGCAAUGCCAAAAUGUUCAUACACCAAAAUCACAUAUCAUCAUUGUUUCUCUUUAAUGAGUACAGACCUAUAAAUAAGGCCAACCAAAAUUCAUUGUUUCUGAGAUCUAUUCAAGGCAUACAAAAAUUAUGUGCAUCUGCAGUCACAAAAUGAGAGAUAUUCUGCAAAAUCUGCUACUUUGUACAGAGUGAGGUUCAUUCACAUAGAACAUUGUCAAAUGAUCUCCUUAUACAUUAUUCUACAAAAUAAAACAAGCAAUAGGCUGAUAAGUCAGUUCUUAUCAAGUUAAAUAAAAUGUUGAUUAGUUUUAACAAUAAAACAGCAACCAAUUAAAUAGAAUAGUGUAUUAUCAAGCUUGUAAUGAAUUCACCUGUAAAUGAACAACUAUCCUCAUCAAUGCUACUUGAACUUAAAUCCCAAUCUUUACUAAUAGCAGGUCUACAUAAAUGAGCAAGAAUAUAGAGAUAUGUAUCAAUCAAAAAAUUCUGAAAACAUAAACAGUAAUACCAAACACAAUUUAUUAUAGAUUCUUACUUUCCUAGAAGUGUUGGACAAUUUCUUUUGUCAUGUGACUGACCAUAUAGUCCGCAUCCAUGGCAUUUUUUACCUUGACUAUCCUUUGCCUUAACUUUCCUCUUCUCUCUUCCUUUCUUCAACCUUCUCCCACACCCUUUUUCUCUAACUUGAUCUGGUUCAUUAAAAACAUGCUGAAUAGUAACAGUCUCGGUCUCUAAAACUACUGUGCUCUGUCCACUUUCAUUACCAAUAUUUAGUGAUUUAAAAUUCUCCAAGAAAGCAUCCAACGAAUCCAUUAGGAGUUGGCUAGCCUCAUCACUAACGAUUGCCUUAUCAAUUGCAUCUGUAGCAUGCUGGAACAAUUUAGUCCUCCUUGCAAGUAAAGUUUCGGUAUCUGUUAUCUCUCCUCCAUCAGAAUCUAACACAAGACUCUGCCUUGCUUUCUUAGUCCAUCUCUUCAAGAUGUACUGAAUAGGCAAUUUAUCAACAUCUUGAAUCUUAAUCAAAUAUGACAAAACAUGUCGACAUGGAAGCCCUUCACUCUCCCACUUUCUACAGCUACAUGAUACAAAAUCAGAAUCUUUUUCAUAAGUGAGUUCACGAGACUUGCAAGUAUCAAUGUUCUUUCUCACUGCUUUGCACACACAAGGAGUCUCAUUUUCUCUUAGAAGUUCUAAUUUAUAUUUGAAGCUCUCUUUCAACUGUUCUUGAACUUCAUAAAAUAACUUGUGUGUGUAAACCUUGGCCAUAUGAUCUUCUAUUUCAAGGGACAUGACAGUUUUUGCCUUCUCUUCAAUAUUAAUAUGAUCCUCCUCUAACUCAUAGUGGCGUUGGUGAAGAAGUCCCCUCUUAAACUGAACCAUAAAUUCCACCAAAGAAUUCGACUGAGAAACAUAAUUCUUGAAGAAAGAAUGCUGACUCUUUGCUCUUUGACUACUUGACAUUCCAGCUGAGAAACAAUGAUUAUUUACAUGUGCUAGUAUCCAUGAUGAACGAAUCUCGUAUAUCGACUCCAACCACUUGUUAUCACUCAAUCCACUCUUCUCAACAAUUUCAGUCCAUCUCGAGUCAAACUCAUCUCCACUAUUUGAAUUCCAUAUGCAGCUAUGAAAGUCUUGGUAGUAAUUUCGAUAUUUAACCGCAUCUAGCUUCUCUGAAAAUUUAUUGAGAAUGUGCCAACUGCAAUAUCUAUGAAAUGUCUGUGGAAGUGCUUCUGAAAUGGCUUUAGUCAUAGCAGGAUCUUGGUCGGUAAUGAUCAUUGUGGGGGCAUUUUCCGAGGCAUUUCCAGGCAUAGCAUUUAGAAAUUCUUUGAAUAACCAAACAAAAGAAUCUGCUGUCUCGUCAUUCAAAAAUGCACAAGCAAAUAUGAUAGUCUGUCCAUGAUUAUUAACACCAGUGAAUGGUGCAAAAAUCAUUCCAUACCGAUUUGUGUUGUAUGUAGUAUCAAAAAUAACUACAUCCCCAUAAAAGCUGUAAGCUCGUCUUGAGAUUGAGUCAGCCCAAAAACAUCGUGUUACUUUGUUUUCCUCAUCUGAUUCCAUUCUAAAGACAAAAGAAGAUUCUUUUUCUUUUUCGUUUUGGAAAUGCAUGUACAAUAGAUCUCCAUCAUGCCCCUUCUUCUCUUGACGAAUAUUUCUUCCAUAAUUAUAAAGAUCACAUUGUGUACAACCAAUGUUUUCAAUGCCACCUGCUUGAACACCAAAGAAUUCGAACUGUUUAUGUUUCUUCACAUUUACCAAGCUUAAUUGCUCAGAUAGAACUUUGUUGACUUUUGAAAUACGACGAUGAGACUUCAGUAAAUAUACCCUAGAUGGGCUUGUUAAUGCGUGGUUGUGCCUUCAACAAAUACAGAGAUUGCAUAUCUUCCAGUUUUCUUUCUCACAGCUGCAAUCCUUGCUUUACAACCCACUUUUGGUAAUCCUCACUUACGUUUUUCUCCCUAAACCUUAGAAUCUCCUUCCUUAUAACAGACAUACUGCUUCCUCAUAACAGACAUACUGCUUCCUCAAAUACAAAGAUUGCAUAUCUUCCAGUUUUCUUUCUCACAGCUACAAUCCUUGCUUUACAACCCACUUUUGGUAAUCCUUACUUACGUUUUUCUCCCUAAACCUUGGAAUCUCCUUCCUUAUAACAGACAUACUGUUUUCUCAUAAGUGUAGUAUUAUCCUUGCUCAUUGCACUAGUAUGACUUCUAAUACUAAACUCUGCUUUUUUUGCAUAUCUAUUGUAGAAAGCAACAACGUCAUCCAUUGUUUCAAACUCUUGUUUUAAUUUAGGAACCACCUCAAACUUCACUUGAGGAAUAUAAACUUGAUCAUCAUUUGACUCCAUAUAUGUAACCGAAACUGAAAACCACACAUACACCGAACAUUCUUUUGUCAGUCAGCAAUCCCAAUGAAUUGAAAAGACAAAAUUCAACCAAUGUUAAUCAAUUGAAAAUACUAAAGAAUUUGGUGAAUGUUUUUCAUCGCCACCAGCUAGAUAUAUAUGAGAAUCAAAUCAUAACUUCAACAAAGAAACAAAAAUAGAAAUCUAGAAACAAUAACAAGAAAAGCCCCAAAUAUGAUAAACCCUAAAUUUUGUAAUUGGAAAAUCAAACAUACCAGAAAAGAGAGAACCCAGACCGAUCUAUAUACGUUUAUAUGUUUUCAAAGCUCCACCUUUUGGAGCGAAAACUCCAAGGCUAGCUUUUUGUACCACAAGAUUGCAAUAUAUAAUAGAGAAAGGAAGAAAAAGAAAGCUUUGAUUGCAAGAACUGUGCAACUGAGGAGAGUUUGAUCAUCAAUGGCGAGAAGACAUGAAUCGGAAGACAACGAUUAUGGUUGGAGAAGAGAUCGUUGAGAGAGAGAGAGGGAGACUGAAGAGUCGGGCAGUGUAUUCCUUGCUAUUUGACCCGCUUUGGGUUUUAAGAGAGAAUUUUCAUCUUAGUCGUUGCUUUUCAUUUAAAACAAUAAACGGCUGAAAAAGAUUCGUGCGCAGUUUUGUAAAAGCACGGACGUGCACUUUGGAACCAUCCUCUGUAUAUAUAUAUAGGACUAAUUUCAGUUUACCCCAUCAAUUUUAGGUCGAUCAUUAUGUUAGUUUUUCUUCUUUCACUUUCAUCAAAAACACCCUUUAACUCCCAAUUUUCGUCAGCCGCGUAUGUCCAAAUCUCCAAUCUCUAUCUAAUUCCUCUGUCAAGUGAUGAUUUGAUAUCAAGAAGAAAGUCAAAUUCUAAAAGUUACCUUUCGGACCAUUUUUCCCCCAUAUCGAUACACAUCUUCGUUCCCAUCACAACCCCCUAACCUUAGUGAUUUUAGUAGGAUUGAAUGCAAUUUGUCUAUUUUUUCUUUUUCUUUUUUCUUGAUAUCAAGUCAUCACUUGACAGAGGAAUUGGAUGGAGAUUGGAGGUUUGGACAUGCGCGGCUAAUGAAAAUUGAGAGUUGAGAGGUGUUUUUAAUGAAAUCGAAAGAAGAAUGACUAACAUGAUAAUCAACCUAAGUUAAUGGGGUAAACUGAAAUUAGUUCAUAUAUAUAUAUAUAUAUUGGAAUUCAAAUUUCAAUAGGACUCUCACUAUGACCUGACUUAACAACUUUCUAUACGCAUGACUAGACCAGCAAUUAAAUUACUUUGCACUUCCAAUGGAUAUUAAUUAUAUUGAGAUAGACUCUUAAAUGAUCAUCAACUAGCCACUAGCUUUAUAAAGCACCAGCUUUAUAUAAAGCACUAGCUUCUCCAAAGCUGUAGUUUUGAUCCAACGCUAUUAAGCUACCAUUAAUAUAAAAUGCCACCGUCCGAGUAAAUAUCCUUCACCAGAUCAAUAGCAUUCGCUUUGAAAGAAAAUAGGAAGAAAUGGGAGGUAAUGAAAGCAGGGAAAGCUCUAAACAGGAAGGAGGAGGUGAAAAUGCUGCUGCAUCGUCCGGUGACGUCGACUCUGGGUUGACAAAAGGAGCAGUCGCCGCUGGCGCUAUCGCCGGACUCGCCGCUGUGGCUUUGGGCGUAGCUAAAAUACUUUCGGAUUCGUCAUCAUCAGGAGGGGAGAGAAAAACCAUGAAAGCGCCCGGACAAGAUAACCAGAGGAUUGACAGGGACGAGUUUGAGCGUGACCCUGCUGACUAUUUCAAAAACUUGCGCAAGUCGAAGAAAUAGUACGUAGUAGAUCACUAGCUCAUGCUUCUUCUUUGUUCAUGCAAACCCUAUUCAGCUUCAUGCAUUAUCCUAGCUUAUCUGUGUUCUAGCUUGUACCUGAAAUCUUUAUGCUUUAUCUAUGUUAUUGUGAUUAAUUAGAGUCUAUGAUUGCCUUGUCGUGUUGGAUCUAUUCCUGUUUAUGCAGAGUCCGUAUCUUUCGUUUUAACUUCCAGUCUUCGAUCACUAAGAAUGCAAAAUGAAGAUGUUUCAUAAUCAACAUUCAGUUAGGUAAAAAUAACACGUACAUUCUUUACUGGAUCGGAUGAAGUGACAAUGUAUAAGAAUGGAACCUGACUUGGUUUAGAGUCUUGAGAGUGAAACAAGGUCGAGUGAUCGAUUGCUGACUAAAUCAUCAAGGAGAGUAAAGUGACGGGAAGGCCGGCAUACCUCUUCGUCCUCUACUGCAUGCUGCCGUUCAUUAUCAUCACCAUCAUCAUCGUCUUCAACAAAUCUGAGUCUCUCAAUUCAAAUGGUGCUCAUGAGUUUCACAAAGUUGGAAAAUAUUCAAUUGUCUCGCAGCAAUGGAUCUGGAGAAUACUUAAGAGAAAGAGACGAAAGAGAGAAUGGACGAAUAGAUCUAAAGAACGAGACCAAGAGUGAAAAAAUGAGAGAGACCGUGUUAACUUGAAAACCCAAAAAUCUCACAAUAGUACUAGCCAAGGAGGGUUAGGAGGCUGAGAGCAAAAAACAUGUGUUAAGUGGUACCCUUUAUUUUUGUACUCCCCCUUACCAAACACAGAUCAAACCACUUAAUACCUCUUAUCUAGUACAAUACCCUUUAGUCCCAAAUACCAAACAUACAAUUGGGGUACAACAUCUAAAGAAGAUCAUGCAUGAUCAUAGUCAAGGACCACAUGUUGUCUCAGCAAUAAUAAUAGGCACCGAUGGGCAAUAAUAAUGCAUGUCUUAAACGACGGAAGUUGUAGCGGAGCAACGUAGCAUUUUCUAAAACAUCAACACGUACGUGUUUGGUUGUUAGUGGCUGGUCGUAUAUGUGAGGUGGUACGUUUGCCGUACGUAAGAACUUCUCCGUUGAUAUGUACUCCGACGGUGGUGCUUUAUAUAAAGCACUAGCUUUGAUCCAAAAAAUAAAAAAUUUGAUCCAACGCUUUAUAUAAAGCACUAGCUUUAGAAACCACUAGUUUUAUAUAAAGCACUAGCUUCUCCAAAGCUCUAGUUUUGAUCCAACGCUACCAUUAAUAUAAAGCACCAAAGGUCUACCACCCUCCGAGCACAUAUCUUUCACCAAAUCAAUAGCAUUCGCUUUGAAAGAAAAUAGGAAGAAAUGGGAGCUAGUGAAAGCAGGGAAAGCUCUCGACAGGAAGGAGGUGAAAAUACUGGCGCUAUCGUCGCACUGGCCGCUGCCGCUAUCGCCGGACUCGCCGCUGUGGUUUUGGUCGUAGCCCGACUUCUUUCGGAUUCAUCAGGAGGGGAGAAAAAAACCAUGAAAGCGCCCGGACGAAAUAACCAGAGGAUUAAAAGGGACGACUUUGAGCGUGACCCUGCUUCCUAUUUCAAAAGCUUGCGCAAGUAGAAGGACCAGUAGUAGAUCACUAGUUCAUGCUUCUUCUUUGUUCAUGCAAACCCUAUUCAGCUUCAUGCAUCCUAGCUUAUCUGUGUUCUUGUACCAGUAAUCUUUAUGCUUUAUCUAUGUUAUUGUGAUUAAUUAGAGUCUAUGAUUGCCUUGUCGUACUGGAUUUAUACCUGUUAUUUAUGCAGAGUCCGUAUAUUUCGUUUUAACUUCAGUCUUCGAUCACUAAGAAUGCAAAAUGAAGAUGUUUCAUAAUCAACAUUCAAUUGGGUAAAAAUAACACGUACAUUCUUUACUGGAUUGGAUGAAGUGACAAUGUAUAAGAAUGGCCUUCCAUAUUGAAGAGAGAACUCGAGUCCAUCACAAUUGACGAUAUCCCUGCUUCCAUGACAACGUUCUUGAUAGCAAAUACAGUUUGCUAGUGACCUAGUGUGUUCCAUCCGCAUCGAAAUCGGUGAAUCAGACAUCGCUCAAUUCAGAUGUUUCAUCCAAAAUGUCAUGCUUCCAUCUCUAUGGUUAUGAUCAUGGGAUGUGGUCCGGUGUAAAAAUUGUGACAUGAUUGUACAGCUUGAUCGUGAAGUCCACAAAAUGUGAAUAAUUUAUAGAGUUUUAUUGAUGCAUCUCAGAUUCUCAGUACAAGGAAUACAUGUAUUAAUAAAUUAAAAUCCUGACAAAAAUUGGCUUCAUCUGCUUCUCUUUCUCUGGCCAAGACCAUAUCCUUAACUAUUGAAUAGAUAUCCGUAUGAGUGAGACUGAGCUCAAAACGCAACAAUAAAGAUCAGAUUACUGGUAUUGCGUUUGUAUGAACCUUGAUUCCUUGAAUGAGAACCACAGGUGAUGCGCAAACAACAUAACAAGAGUUGAGCUGAUCAUCUUCUUCUCCUCCCCUUGCCUUUUCCUAAUUGCCCAGAUUUCAUAGCAUGUUCUUGCUCUUGAAGGAAAAGUCUUGCUUUUCCAUAUUUCUCAGCUCUCUCUUGUUCCAUCAAAGCCUUAUCCCUCGACUUCACCUCCUGCAAGAAAUAAUUAUCUUUACGCAGUUCACGGACAGCACCUUUAGCUUCUUGUGUCAAACGCUUCUUCAACUUCUUUCUCUCAACCCGUUCACGGUCUGGAUCGUAGUCUCUGCCCUUGACAAAGCUGCAGGGAACAACAUACCAUCCAAUGGUUAGCCUAGCCAUUCAGAUACAUAUAGUAAGACACUAGAGGGAACAGGGAUUAAAAUAAAUUACUUCUCCUCAAAUUUUGGAUUGAGCAUUUUGAUAGCCACUGGCUUUUGCUUCCGCAUCUGAAGUGGUUGCCGCCGCAAGCAGUGUUUAUCUGCUUUUGUCUUGAUCAGUUGAGCAACCUCUUUAAAUUUAUCAGUUAAUGCACUUGGCAUAUUUUCUUGUUCCGACAAUUCAAGAACCAAUGUUGAAAUCGGCAAAAAGAUUUCGGGGAAAGAACUGAAUCCUUCGUAGAUAUUGACAUAUCCACGUAGAGUUUCAAUUACAGUCACCAGCACACUAGACCUGAAAAUUGUAAAUUUGACAUAAAGAUAUAACAAACAAACUUAAAAAGUAUAACAGACAACAAAUGGCAUAUGAAAAUUCAAAGUAAUAAUAACGAAACCAAUUUAUAUGCAAAAAUUUACAGAAUUGCCACAACUCUAAAACGUAAUCAUUAGAUGGUGGCAUCGGUCAAUGUGAUGUGAUUUGAGGGUUCAUUUCAUAAGCACCGAAUCUCAGCCUAACGCAUCAUAUGGGCACAUAUUAUCAUAACAUAUUAUCAAGUACUGACAAACUCCAAACCUGAAAUUGUUGGAGGUGAAAAAUGACGAGUCUUCUGGCAGGUCCAUAAUUGUGAGAAAAUUAAGUGGAUCGAUCUGAUUUAUACAUUCAUGUAUAAGUAAAAGGGGUCUGGGUGCUUUUAGUUCCAUAAGAUGAUCAAUCUGCCACAAUAUAAAGAGAGUACGGUUAAUUCAUCAAGCAACCAUAAACUAGACUACCUCAGUAUUCUCUACUAAAAAGACUAUGUUGAGGCGUGUUCUUACCUCAGAAUCUUGAGUAGGCUUUGGUUUUCUCUCUUUGGCCGCCAUUAACAAUGUUUGAAGAAAUGUGACUGCUUCGGGACAGAACUUCCGAGAUUGUUUAGUGAUCUGCAUUGCAAUACAACUAAUUAAGCCUGUAAAAUAAAUACAGCAGAGGCAAAGAAACACAGGCAUGGAACAGUUCAAAACGAUUGAAAGUUACAGGUUAAGGUUAAUUUAUUAUAUUCACAUAGGAGUCACAGGCACUCAAUCAACUUGUCUCACGUGUUUAAAUAUUAGGAUUACGAACAUGAAAGAAAGACAAAGGAGACGCCUCACACAAACUAAUGUAAAUUCAGCCUCCACUUGAAGAGCGCAUCAAAGAUAGAAAUUUUUUAUUGUGAAUAUACUUACAGAGAGAAGCAGAGAGCAUAAGAACAAGCCGACUGCAACAUCACGACCAGAUAAGAUGGGACAACGCGUCAGAUAUUCACACAUUAAAAAUAUUGCUGGAGUCAUGACCACAUGACGAAAGUCUGAACAUGGAAAUAUCAGGGACCAAAGCCUCAGGAGAAACAAUGUCUUUGAAGCAGGCCAACAACUACUUUCUUCUUAAACGAAACAAGAGAGCAUGAAUUAGCAUAGUUUAGCACAACCAAUAACUUCACAGAAAGUAAAACUAUACCAUUCCAUUGUGGAUUACCUGGGUUCUUCACAGUCUCACAAAAUUUUGUUCUGGUGCGUAGUAUUCUCUCACGAGCACAGAUUGAAGCAAAAUACGGAGUCUCCAUGCUCAUCUCCAUCAACGGCUUAACCAGCAAAUUCAGUAAUUCCAAAUUUAGCGGUUUUUUAUUUGCCAAGGUGGCAAAAUAUUGCAAAAGUAAACCAUAAAACACCUGGAAAAUGAAAUAAAUGAGAAUGAGUGCCAAGAUGCAAUCUUUCGACCAAAUUAAAGGAGAGAUGCAAUCACAACAGAUGGAGUAUACCUUAAGUUACUUCACUUCUCCAUACAAAUGUUAAAUUCAAGUCAAGGUAUCUAAGUGGAAAGCGAUAAUGAAUAACACAUGUUUCACACAAAAUACAGUCAAACAUUCAUUGACACAAAAUAGAUGUGGCAAAAGUAACAUACUUGCAUUUUCUUCUUAUUUUCAGCUGCAAGCUUGAUUGCAUUGCUUGCCCGGAUUCGAUGGAUUAUCAAGGCAAUGUCAGCAUUAGAAAGAUUAUCCAAUAAUGCAUCCAACUCUUCCAUGCUUUUCGGAGCUUCAAUUAGGUAUGGGAGGUCUGACUGAGUUAAAGAUUGUUUAUUGGCUGGCAAUUUUUUGGCAUCUAAAGAUUUACCAUCACUCUUACUAGCUUGAACAGCAUCAUUUCUUUUCAACUUUUUCAGAUGUCUUUGCUCCACCUCUUUUUGAUCAGCAUCAUCAUCACCAUUUUCAUGUUCGUCAGAGUCUUCUUCUUCAUCAUCCAAGUCUAAGUCAAGAUUAUCAUCAUCACUUUGUUCCCACUCCUUAUUCAAUAGAUCUCUUUCCCCUUCACUAUCAUCUUCAUCAGAACCCUCAACACCAUCAUCUUCAGGACUUUCUGAACCCUCAGAAGAAUCAGAAUCAUCUCCUUCACUCUCAGAAUCACCAGCAUCUCUUCGUUCGAGAAUCUCAUCAACCCAACCCUUUUUAUUCCUUGGUUCUUCCUCGAGCGAGAAAGAAUCACCAAGAUCAUCUCCAGAUAUAGCUCUCAGCCUCAGGGUAGAUGGUUUCUCAGCAUCUUCAUUGUCUUCAUCACUAUAGUCAUCAGUGGGAUGCAUCCUUUUCUGCCUCUCUUCCUGAAUUGUGAAACUUGUCAGCAAUUAAGUUUACAACUUGAUAAUAAAAAGUACAAGCGAGACAAACAUUCAGCUAAUAAAUUAUCAACUUUAAUGACAUGGAAAUCCCAAGUUAAGUAUAGAUAAAUAAACAAAAACAUCUAUCCUGAAAUGACAUGUCACUAUGUACCAUAUUGGAAUCGAGUAAAUGAUAAAUGAACCAAAUUGAAACCCAAGAUGGCAACCUUUUAGAGCUUAAACAUAUAGCUUAUCCAGGGGCAUAAACCCAUAUAGCUUAUUAGAACAGUGAAGACAGUUCUUGGUGCACCAAUUUAUGCAUACUGCACUUGCCAACAACAAUCUACAAUUUACCAAUACAUGUUCUAAUACUAUAAGGAAGUUCAAUAAUAUCCACUAAUACAUAGCUGCAAGACAAAGGGAAUUUCAUGUUUGGUGGGUUAAGCUACUGUAGUCUAAUAAUAACAAGCAUCUAUAAAGAUAAGGCUGUUGGAUCUGCAGAUGAAACUUGCAUUCAAGCAAGCAUAUAAAUGAAUGAGAUACCUCCAAUUGUUCUAGUUGCUCCCUCUCUUCUUGUGCUAUCUCUUCAGGCGUCUUGGUCCUACUCGAGGGUUGAGCACGCCUUUCCAUUGCCAAUUCUCUUUCAAGUUUAUCAUAAGCGUCAGAUUUCUCCUGCCAAAGCCAGGAAACUAAUUUACUUACCCAAGUCUCAAAGUUAUGCAAGUUUAACAUGUUUAGUACAGCUGUACAGAACAAUAAAACUUUAUAAAAAUAAAAAUAAAAAUAAAAAAUCUAUUGAAAAUAUCAUACCUGCUCAGAAGUUCCAAAGAUCUGAGUAGCAGAAACCUCAUGCUUAAUGCUUUUGUCUAUAAGAGCUUUCGAGGCAAUUACAGAGGUAAACUUUUUGUCCAAUUCUUCCAUCAAAUCUUUGUUUUCAUCCUUCUCCUUCGACUUUUCAAACUGGGAAUAGAUGAGAAGAAUAAGGAAGGAAUCCAUAACUAAAUUAAAGACUUAGGAAAUUGAUGUAGCCACCACCACAAGCCAUUUCAAUGACAUAAACAAGUAAGAAUCCAAACCUUAUAAUUUUUGGACUUCAAUAUCAUCUCAGCAUAUCUUUCCUUGUCACUUUUAUGCCUCUGGUACAAAAACAACGAAACAAGCAUUGGCAUUUUUAUCGCUCUAAUGUUUCUACCGAUAAAUCUAUAAUCUACUGAAGAAAACAACUUUGCUGACAUAUUAACCUAAAAUAAUCUAGUAUUUCAAUAUAAUGCACCACAAACGAGAUAGCAUAAAAUUUCUCACAUUUUCAUUUCCGUCACUUAAAUCCCCGUCCUUAUCAUCAGAAUUAAAUUGAUAUCUUUCUGCAGAGAAGAAAAACGAGUAACGUUACUCCCAUUAACAUAGAUCAAAAGAACCAAUAACUAAAUCAUAAGCAGUUUCAGUAGCCAACUAGACAUGGAAAAUGAUCAUCAUACACAAAAUCACCAUAAAAAUGCUUACUUUUAGCAGUUUCUCCACCAUCAUCAUCUUCGUCAUCUUCCUGCGGCAUAUCAUCCUCAAAAUCAUCCCUCUGAGACAAUGCACCAAGACUCUGAAACUCAAACUCGUCGUCUUCGCCAUCUGACAAGUUAUACUUGCUCUUCUUGCUUUGCUUCAGCUAUCAAAAAAAACCAGUAAUGCCAACAAAUUCAGUCACAUUGGAGAUUAUCACUAACAUACACAUAGAUCAAAAUCAAAAUUCAAACUCACUUGACGCUCACGCUGGGUACGCCGAAUGGCCUUAUCAAACUCAUCAAGCUCAUCAUUUCCCUCUCCGAUUCGCUUAUCCACAAACACCGAAGAUUUACCGCUCUUCUCAUACUCCUUCAGCAAUGUCUUCUUCCUCUGUUUCACCAAAACCACAUUAAUUACCCAAAAAAAAAAAAAAAAAACAACCUAAAAUUUCAGAGCUUGAAUGAAACUUAGGGAUGAAUAAGUGUUGACCUUUUCGAUGGCCUGAGAGCGAGCAAGGCCGACACGGCGCUCUUCGCCUUUGCGCUUUUUGCCGAGGACGUCGAAUUUCCGCCGGGACCAAAUGGUCUCGAAGGGGUUGGGCUUCGGCGGCUGGACCUUCAUAGCCGCCGCUUUCGGUCCUAGUUUACUUUUCUUCUUCUUCUUCGUCUCCUUCGCGGUGCUGUUGUCGUCGGAGCGACUGAGCUUUGGCAAUUUGCCGGCGAAGGGGUUUGGUUUGGGGGACUGGUGCUUCAUGGAUGCGGCGCGUGGGCCGGACUUCAGCUUCGCCAUGGCUGAGAGAAGGUGGUGGUGGCCGUUGGUAGGGUUUAUGGAUGAAGAAGGAAAGGGGUAAGGGUUUUGCAGUGAGAUUUCUGAUUUUGGGAGUUGGGUCGGGUCGAUUCCGGUUUGGUUCGACUCGUUUUGGGCCCAAAGCUCCAACGGUAUUCGGCGUAUCCCACCUCAGUAUCAAGUACGUACUAUACUGUAUUCUAAAGUCUUAUCUUCCAAGAUACUUAUUGAUCGCCUAAAUGACAAGAUUAGACCUGUAAAUAGACCGGAUCUUGAUCCGGACCCGCUCUGGAUCCGUGGUUUUUAAACUGGUUUGGAUCGAAAAUUAGACCCGUUGAUCCGUUAAGGACUCGGAUCUGUUAACCCGUUUAUUAAACGGAUCGGAUACGGAUCGAGGUUGAUCCGAUCCGUUAAGGACCCGGAUCUGUUUUAAAAUAAUUAAAUAAUAUUUUUAUAAAUAUAAUAUUAUUAAAAAAUAUUAAAUAAUAUAAUAAUUAUUUGAAUAACCUAAACGUCUAAAGUAUAAUCAUUUGAUGAAGUUGAAGGUUACUGAUACCUAUGUUCUUUUUAUACACUUUGCUAAAUACAUUGGAGGUUUAGUAUUUUGAAUAUAUUAGUUUAUUGUUAAGGAGUAUUUUGGUCAUGUAAUUCAACUUUUGAUGUAAACUUUUAUUUUGUUAUAAUAUUUCAUUAGUGUUUUAUGAAAAUUUAUAAUAAAAUUAAGAAAUUAUUAUUUACAAAUUAAAAAUAUUUAUAAUUAUAAACGGAUCGGAUUAACGGGUCGGGUAUUCGUUAACCCGCCGGAUCCGGAUUUGGAUCUAGCUAUCAAAGAUCCGGCGGGUAACGGGUCGGAUCCGGAUCCAAAAUUUCUAUUACGGAUCCGGAUCCGGAUCUAGGUAGAUCCGCUCCAGAUCCGGUCCAUUUACAAGUAUAGACAAGAUCCGUUGUCCAAGAUACAUUGAAACUUUUGCUAGCCCACUCAGUUCCAUUCAGAAGGGAAUUGCUUACCUGAUGAUUAAGUGAAUAUGGGCAAUUAGUACAAUUCUCUACCGUUGUAGAUUGUCAUGUCUUAUCGUUUGAUAACGUUUCAAAUCGAUUAUUGUAAAAGUUUCAGUUUUUAAAUUUUUUGUUGUAAUCUUAAGCGGUCUUACCUGAUGAUUUAGUGAAUAUGGGUAAUUGAUACAAUGAUCUACUGUUGAGCAUCUCCAGCAGUAGAGUUAAAUUUAUUGCUAAAUUUGUCAACAUUUAGAUUUAAAAUAACAAUUUUUAAACUUUUGCUCCAGCAGUGUUGCUAAAUUAUAUACAUUAGCUAAGUUUUAGUUAAUUAUCUCCCCAAGAUUGAUAAAUUGAUCAAUUUUCUCCAUCAAUUUCUAAAUUUAUCAACUUCUUAAGCAUACUGCUGGAGCAAAUAUUCAUUUAAAAAUUGAUAAAUCUCUAAUUUUUUUUAAUUUAUCAAUACUGCUGGAGAUGUUCUAUCGUUUGCUAGUGUUCAAGUUAGUUGUUGUAGAAAUUUUAGAUUUUAAGUUUUUUGUUGUAAUCUUAAGCAGUCUUCCUAUUGUAAAACCAAACAAUUUAGAUUAUCAAAAUGGACUUGCAAAAGUCAGUAUUCAUGUAUUACUUAGUCACUUGAGCACUCGAGUCAUGACAAAAUAUUAUUUUUGACUAUCCAGCCUCAAUUAAAACUAUGAUUGUGGAGUUUGCAACUAAGUUUUUCAUGAUUAAAGAUUCUGACUGGACACAUUGUGAGCAAUUGGCAAACAAUAACAGAAGUGCUAUGAGUAUGAAUUAUAAGUCAUCACUAGUUAGCUAGAUUACCAUGGUUAGUGAGUGGAAAUCAGCAUAGACUUCAUUUGCAUCAUGACUCAUGAGAUGUAGAGAUGUAUAGAUUGCUAUAAAGUGGCAGAGAAUGAGGUUUAGUCCCCACUCCCCAGUGUCCUCCUAAUUCCUAACUAAGGGGGGUCAUGUCCCAGAAAUAUAUACUUAGGUUGGGUUUUAGGUCAUGUGUUAGCACCAUCUGCCUUUACACAUCGAACUACUACGGUACAGCAUCUAAAGAAAAUCAUGCAUGACCAUAAUCAAGGACCCCAUGUUGUCUCUUAAAGCAAUAAUAAUAGGCACCAAUGGGCAAUGGCAGCCUGAGUAAAGACAUGACACAUGAGUAACACUUAUCCAUUCACACAUUAUUAUUCACUAUUCAAUAUGCCUUUAUACAAAACCAAUUACACUAUCAUAUAAAUCUUGCUCAUAAGUCUAUGUCUGCCUGAUUAGUGCUGGUUUUACUAGGCCAAGAGCCAGAAAUCUUUCUGGCGCUUUGUAGUGAUCAAGUACCCUCCAACCUUCUUGCUUUUCCUCCUCACUGCAAUCGCCAUGCAACUGGCAUUCUGUAUACAGUACUCCACCACCCCGCCCCCGCCACCGACACGGUUGCUCCCCGCCCACAUCAUCAGCAGCCGCCACGUCGUAGACCUCUUCUUCUGUCCCAGAACCAGCAGUGACACCCCUUGCUUUUUGGCCUCUUCCACUAUUGUUGGCCCUUUCUCCUUUUUCCCUAAUUCCACCACUGCAACCUCAGUUUGUACCUAUCACCAACACUGAUCAUCAUCACGAAUUUACAUUAUAAAAGCAAUGACAUAAAGUUAUUACUGUCUUUUCUAUAAUGCCAUGUAAAUAAUCAUCAUUAAUCACCUUAUAAGAAGUAUCUCAUCAUUAUAUAUACACAAGACUAAACUGGAAAUUAUCAUAAAGACAAGCGAGUUUCAUAUGCCUAUUAAGGCACCCAACAUUAUACAUGUCAAUGAUGUCCUUCAACCACCCCCUUUAACAAAGUAGUAUUCUAAAUGAAAGAAGCAGUAUGCUUCAACCUCUGUUAUACUCUGCACACAAAGAUAGAUACGUACAUAUUGCUUACCCAGAACAAAUGUACUAAAUUUGCUACAGGAAAGAAGAAUUCUAGUUAAUUUUGGUUCAGUUGGUAGAUAGUAAGAUUAUUCCAGGGAAAAAACUGUUGUGCAGGGAAGAAAAACGUAAGUUAAAACUUGUACAUAUUGCAAUCGAUGAGCUCAAUACACACACCUCAGGUCUCUUCAGCUGGCACAUAUUCCUCAGAGAAUGAACAAGUUCAUAAGCCCUUGGAGCUAUAAUAUCCUCACCUGUAAUUGUAACGAAUGAUCAAAUUCGAAAACCACUUCUCUAAGCUGAAAGAUAAUCAUCAGAAGAAACUUAAAACUAAAAAGUUCUCAAACCUUGUUUUGAAGUUGAAGGUUUGGUUACAUGUAGCAGUACAAGCUUGUCCUGGUUCUGAACAGUGUGAGAAAGAGCCCAUUGCAGAGCUCCCUUGGCUUCAAUGCUCGAAUCAACCACAAUCAUGAUCUUCCUCGCAAAAACCACCCCGGAUUUUUUAGCCCCAUCUCCAUCUGUAACUUUCUCUUCUCCAGCAUUGCCACAAUUCUCAACUUUCCCACCAUUUUUAGUGAUCUCUGCAGCAUCUAGUUUCGACUGUAUCGGUGGAGAACGAACUCGAACAUGAGGCCUAAUCCUGUUGAGGCAGAAACUUGGCAACUUUGUGCCUAUCCUCCCCAUUUGUCCUCAGAUAGAAAUGAGACUACCUUGAUUGAGACUGAAACUAAGGACCAGAAAUUGUUAUAAAGAGGAGGGUUGAAGAAGGUCUGCAAUUUAUUCUAGAGAAGCUUAUAUGGGCCAUGCAUGUUUAUAUUUUGCUUUGCUCUUCUUCUUUUUUUUCCUUUUUAUCGAGGAGUAAUCAUGUUAGCUAGGGUCUUUGUUUCCUUUGUAUUUCUUCUUUUCUGCGCGGGAUGGGGCUAUGAACGUGGUUGUCAUGAAGCUGUAGGGCCAUUUCAGGACCAGCAGUAUUCACUUCAGAUAGUAAUCUGGCAUGUUACUGCAAUCAGUUUUCUUAAUAUUUCUUCCACGAACUUGUUCCUCGCAAAUUAGUUUUUAUGUUGUAGUGAGCAGAAACAAUCAUAUGCUUUUAUGUUGUAGAGAUCGAUCUCUAGUAAGAUGAGAAAUUGGUGAACAUCUAAGAUCGAUCUAACCGUAUUGAGAUUCGUAUUAAUUUUUCAGGACAUUAUUUGGAACAUUCUGCAUAGAUCGAUCUCAACUGAACACAACAUAUUAUCGCUUGCAAACUAUCACAACGUUUAAAUUUCAGCUCCAGGGCCCUUUACUCCUUCUAUUUGAGAUUAUGUUAGUACAUAAUUGUUAGGUUUUCGAAUCAGUAAUCCCAAAUGUGCUGGCAUCCUCUUGGGGCAAUUAUUAGUGCUGUAUGAUUGAAAUUUGGAUUAUGUAAUUUGGAACUUUGCAAAGGCUCGAUAUUAUCACUUGUUAAUUUUAUGCAUUUUAUAAAGAAGUAGCUUCGCUCAAACGCAACCAAAGUUAUCAUUUUACCAGUAAUCAACUCGAAUGAAAUCUAAUUAAUCAUGCUUGUUUACCACCUAAAAAUAUGUAAAUCAUUGACCAUAAAGCUCAACUGCAAUUUUGAUACGUACAAGUAAUUGGGUUUGCUUGUAUAGCGCACCGGCUUCUCACUCACUGUUGCAUCUGCUUCUCAAAUCAAAACCGAGACAACACGACAUAUAUAUAAGUUUGAUGCUUCUAAACAAUUUUGUUUGUUCAUUAAUUUGCACCAAAAAAGGGACGUGCCAAUAAACUCCAUUUUGACUUCCAAUCUCCAAAAGCAAAGCCAAUUUGAGAAAGAUGGAGGAUUUGCAUGUCUUAUGAUAACAAACCGCCCAACCAUGAUGCUCAUGUGAGUCAUGUCCUUCCAAUUCAAGACAAUUAUAUGCGAAAAAGUUGCCACUGCUAAAACCUAUAAGCAUAUCUCCUCAAAGUUGCCAACCAUGUUUAUACUUGAUAUGAUAUGUGGUGUAUGAACCAAUCCACAUAAACAUACAAUUUCUUAACUCAUCUCAUACUUGAUCUUACAAUGUCAAUGAGAUUUGAUCUUAUAACCUUUACGGUAUUAGUGAUCUUGCUAACCAACAAGCCACUACUUAUAGACAAUCAUAGAUCUGGUUGAACAAUCCUUAACUAUUAUGAGUAUUAUCGUCAAUAUUUAUUAUUAUUAUUAUUUUUUUAUUUUUUUGUAUAAAAGACUCUUGGAAGGUGGCUUGCAAAUGGGCCUGUUUAUUAACAUGCUCCGAGCAGGCUAUGUGAAUGAGCGCAAAGGCCCAUAUUAGAUAACAAUUCAUAUCCUACUUCUUACCCAAUUAGGAAAAGGACAAUAGUUAGUCUAAAGAGGAAAUCUAUAAAUACUUCUUGUUGCUGUUUCUCUGUUCCAUAGUUCUGCAGUGGUUGUUUGUUUGGGAUUUUGGUUCUUGGUGAAUUGAUCGAUCCACGUUCUGAAGUAAGUGAUGGGUUCUGUUUGUUGUUGUGGUCCUAAGAACGAUCCCAAAGAUGAUGAAGAAACUGUGCCUGUGUCAACAAGACCACAUAUAAUGGGGGAAGUCGUCGGAGAACUUGGUUACGUCUACGCUUCGUCGGAAGAGGAUGAAGAUGAAGGAAACGGCCGGAGAAACGAAUUACAGCAAUGGUGGAGCUGGAAUUACUGUAACGGAAAGCCGAACGCCCUGGACGAGAAUCUUCUGGCUAAUUAAGUACCAGAUUAGUUAACCUAAACGUUUGUAAACCAAGUUUAGUAAUUAAUCGUCUGAUAUAGGGUUUACUUACAACAUAGUGGUUCAAUAUCUGUGCGAUUUUUGCAACAACAGAAAAAAAAACCCAUUAUCUCCGGACCUGAAUAGUUUGGUCCGACGAAAUUAGAUCUUCUACUUUUCUUUCACAACUUUGAUGAUUACAUCAGUGAGAUUCUAGUUACGUAUCCUUUCCUUUUGCUAAAAGGAUUAUGUUCGAGUAUGGAAGUAGAGCUCGAGAUAAGAUUUCCACAGUUAAAAAGUAAAAACAGAAGAAACAUCAAGUAAAAAUGUUUUGGAGAAUCCACGAUAUCUUUUAGACCUUUAAUUCCGGAUUUCGGCGUAAAUCCUUACGCAACUCAAGUAAGGAUUCCCAAAACGAUACGAUUUUCGAAUUCAAUUGAUUCUAUGUUCAACCCUUUGUUAUAUCUCUCUUCUCUUCUAUUUUCUUUAAUUUAUUAAUUAAUAAAUAAGCGCCUUCAUUAGCUUCUAUCUCUUAAUUCACUCCUACUCGAUCUUUCUGCUUCUUCCGUUUUCUUUCCCAUCGUUUAAUAUUUCUGGGAUUCUUGGUAGUCAAGAGGAGGCCAUCGCAAUCUGCUCUGGUUUCAAAGUAUGUUUCUUAAAUCUCUAGCUCCACCUAUGUAUUGUGAUUUCAAUUCUUUUCGGAGUCUGGAAGAUUGGAACUCUGGGAUGUAUAUUAGCUUUAAUUUUUGUCUUGAGACUUUUCUUGUUCUAACAGUCAUCAUGCGUAUGAUUAUAUGAUGGUUUAUGUGAGAUUUUGAUCAUUGAUUAAAAUAGAAUGGUUUCCCCCUCUCCCCCUCUCUCUAUCUAUUUUUUCUUCUCCUGUGACGUAACUUUUUUUUUUGGACGAUUCGUGCCGAUUCGUGCAGGGUGUGACUGAAAGUUCAAAUAGAAGCUAGUUGAGGCGAUUUUCUUGAUGGGUUGUUUUUUCUCUUGCUUUGAUGUGAACGAUCCUUUGGAUAACACGCAGAAUGCUAACAAUGCCAAUGAUGGUAACCGGAUCAUCAUCCCUAAUUUGUACAACAAGGUACAUGUUUCAGAAUUUCCAUCACUUUUCAUUCCAUAUAGUCGACUAUAUAUGAGUGUGUGAUAACCCUAACAAGUUUGAUGUUAAGCAGAUUGCGUCCGUUAACGAGGUAGCUCUUGGAAGUAUACAAUGUGAGACUGGCAGGGAUGCUGCCACUGCUACUGCUAUUAUCCGAUCCCUUCCUGGUGAUCCCUUUCUUAUUGAAAAGGAGAUUGGAGGACAACGUUACCUUUACCCUUCGUCGAUAGAAGAGGAAGAAUGCCCUACAUGUCUUGAAGGUGAGUAUUGCUCUUAAAAUCUGUUUAUAGCGAUACAUUUUCACUUUGAUUUGGUUUUCUAGCUAAUUAGAUACGCUGAAUGUAUGCUGAGGCUCCUUGAUUCAAAAUUUCUGCAGAAUAUACACCUGACAAUCCAAAGAUAAAAACAAAGUGUUGUCACCAUUUCCACCUUGCUUGUAUAUAUGAAUGGUUGGAGAGAAAGCAAACUUGUCCAGUUUGCAGCCAGGUAACCAAUUUCUCUAGCUAGCUUAAUACUGUUUAUAACAUGAUAUUUAUAGAACUUCCUUCAAAUUGAUUAAUAUAUGAAUUCUUACACGGCUCAACGCAAAGGCGAAAAUUUAAUCAUGAAAUUGUGGUCUUAUCACAUACUAAAUAGAGAUUUGAAAAGGAUACCAGAGAAGAACAUACAUGGAGAUUUGAAAUUAAUGUACAAAUAGAAUACUGGUGCUGUGAAAACUAGAAAACUAGAACUAUGUAAGGCACACUUCCGGUGAAAGUAUUAGCCAAUGUACUGGGAGAUAAUAGUUGUGGUGUGUUUGUAAUAAAAUAGCUACAAGAGUACUACUUAAUUCGUCCUGAACCUGACCAACUGCAAAUUCUUUUUGUAGGUGAUGUCAUUCAAUGAUCUCUGAGAACACACAACUGCAACAGCUAGCUAGCGAAGUAGAAACAUUCCUAUAUAAACGCAGAAGAGGAUAUUGGUCAAGCAAUCAAAUUAAAUUUCAAGGAUUGAGAGAAGCCUUUUAAAUGAUCUGUAAUGUAUUGUUCCAAUUCUUCAAGAGUGAAGCUGUAAAUGCAAUAAUUCUGGGCUUAAAUUUAUAUUUCAGUGGGAAUCAUACACCAAUUCCAUAUAUAAAUGAUGGCAAUCCCAUUCAAAUUCCACAUCUCGUUAGCGAUUUUGUUUUUCUAGUCUUUCUUUCAUGAUAGUAACUUGGUAACUUGUGUGCAUACUUAUCUUAGAUUUCUUUCCUACUUACCCUUUGACAUUAUUUGCUAAAUUAGACAACUCUAGGUAUACACCUUAUAUAUUAGAAAAGCCCAGACCUCAAUCAGUUUGCUUAAAUAAACAGGAAGACUCUGUCUCACAAAUCUACAAGUACUUUGUUAAAACAAUUUUCUUAAAAUUACUGCACAAUAUACGUAGAAAUUUAUAGGAAAUUUCCAUCAAGUUCACUAAUUAAGAUACAGUGAAUUUUUUUCAAGCCGCAUAAAGUUUGGCAAUAUAUAAUAUUUUGAUAACAUCAAGAGAGCUAGAGAUCGAAGUAGAGAAUUGUAGCAAAACCCAAUAAUCUUCAGUAUAUAUACUGAUCGAUCACAUUGGAUGUCUUAAAUCCACCGCUCACCAAUCAAGCUUACAUUAUACCACAAUAUCUGGUGAAGCACUACUAUAUAGAGCGAGUAUAUAACCUUAACCUUAUGCUACUAGUGCACUUAGGGAUUAAUAUUACUUGGUGAUGAUAUUCAUGAAGCAAAGCAUCCAAGGUGGCAUGAAUACAACGAUGGCUCGAGAGUAAGGUCGAGCUGGUUCCUCCUCACCUGAAGGAACUGAUCAUUUUGCUGAGUGCCCCUGCAUAUAUCAUAAGUUCAUAACCAUAUACCGUAUUAUACUAAGGCCCAAGUAUUUUAUAAUUUAAGUAUGAAGUAUGGUACGUAAUAGGAUCUUACCCCAUGUUCAAACAUGGAAUUGGACCCUGUGCUAGCAGGUUAAGGCCAUGGUUUUGCUGCUGCUGCUCCCAGUCAUGAACCUCCUGAGCUUCCGCUACAUUCUUCUCGUGCUCCUUAAUCUAUAUUAAUAAUGUUGAUUAAUUUAUGAAAGCAGAACCUAAUGAGAAGAAGAGCCGUGCAUUAUCACAUAAAUUAGAAAAGACAUUGCUAGCAUAUAUGAAAAUGACCUUCUUUGAAAGCAAGUUGUUCUGCUCCUUGAUUGCCUUCUCCUGUUACAGUGAGGAACAAAAAGAAAGAAUUUAUGAUGAUCAGAUUUUGAGACUGCAAGUAAAUGGAUACACACAUACAUGUGUACACCUUACAAAUCAAGUAUAAUUGCAUGUCCUCGCCUUUCACAGACCAAUGAACCAAAACUCUACUAUAAUUGACUUGUACGAAUCAAAAUUCUUAACUAGUUACCAAGAAUCUCACACAAAGUGACCAAAAAAAAAAAAGAAUCUCACACAAAGUGACAAAACAAACAAUUGCUUAUUAUAAAGUUUAGUAUGUUAAUAAAUAGUUAGUGUGCAAAAUGGCCAUGGCCGAACCUUCCUCUGUAGCUCAGAGAUCGACUCAUGCAUGAGUUGGUUCUGCAAGAAAUCAAAAUAUAUAUAUUAGCACUAGAUCAAACUAGCUGCAGACUAUCACUAAUCAACCCAGCUAGCAUACUUUUUAUCAAAAAAAAAAACCAGCUAGCAUACUUUUCUUGAUCGAAUUUGCUUAAGAGCAGUUUCAAGCUGUUGCUCCAAACUUUGGAUCUCUUUGAUACUCAAUGAAUCCAGAUCUUCUCCCAAAUAGUGCCUGCAGUUUGAUUGGUUUAAGCAAAGAAUCAAGAUGAAUCAAUCAAUUCAGGACAGAAUCAUUCUGGGGCAAGUUAUUACGAGAGUAGUGAAGCAGCCAUCUAUAUAUACCUUAGGUUUCUCUGCAGAAGCUCAACUUUCACCUUCAGCCUAGCAUGUUCGAAGGGCCAGUUACCCUGCAUUAAGUACCAAGUGACCUAAUUGAUCAGUAUAUAUAUAUAAUAUAUGAAGAACCACAGUCAAGUGACGGGAAAAUGGAAAGUACCUGUGAAUCAAAAUCAGGUUCCACUAGCUGUCUCUCUGCAUAUGAGUACCUCUCAUAGCGUUCAAGUAUAUCCUCCAUGCUGCACAGCCAAAACGGAGCUUGACCAAUAUAUCUAACAUGAUGCACUUAACUUAUAUAUGCAACCAAGAGAGCUAAAUCUUCAAGGGUCUAUCUGUACUUAACCGUAUUAAGGAUAGGAGGAGUUUCUCAAGAGUUUCAUGAAAGCAUACAUCAGAUUGUUGUAUGAAUUAAACCAUUAAAGGCUUUAUGCUAAGGCAUUUUACAAUUUUUACUAAUUCCAUCAAACAAAAAAUUACAUCUUACUGGCCCCCAUUAGGAUAUUACUGAUAGUUUAAUCACAUACUAUUUCUAUAUAUAUAUAUAUAUAUAUAUAUGCACAGUUUCUUGAGAGAUAUUUGAGCUUUACUUGUUUGAAACUAAAUAAUUAACUAAAUAAUGCAAACAAUGAGACUUCUUGUGUCUUUACUACUUGUUUGAGAAAACAUUGCAUGAUGCCCUAGCUACAAAAUUACAUGUUUCGAGUUGGACUAACAAUGGAAGAAAUUAAGUACUGAAAGAGCUGGUAUAUAUACUAGCGUUGCAUACUUUUUAUUCUUUAGAUUUUGCUUAUUUAAACUCAGAAAAACGUUACAAAAAUAUUACAGAUAUCAGUAAAUUACAGAGCUUUAGAUUUGUACACCAAAAAGUCCAGGAAUUCAGAUUGCAUCAUUUUUUUUUAACUUUUGACUGUGUUGUCCUCUCUUCUUUUAAAGACAUGUGUGAUAAUGGAAUAUUCCAUCCAGGUUUUCUACACCUCUUCCGCACUUCUUCAUUAAUCCUUCAUAAUAUUUUCUGUGUUGCUAGAAAAAAAAUUCAGUUUCUUUUUCUUAAUUUGCAUAUUAUAAAAUCAGAACAGUUUGAAAUCAGCUCUGGAAUCAAGUCAUCAACUCCAGAGUUAAGUUUAUAAAGAUGUAAAUUAGUAGAUUUUUCACAGGAUGCUGCACAUCAACCCAAACCCAGGUCAUCUAUGCUUAAGUAUCCCCAAAAGCAGAUGAAGUACUGAUAAAUCUCACAUAAAGAUUUUUCAUCUAGGUCAUUAAGCUCUACUUUAUAUCAAAUCAAGCACUCUUAACCAUUAGAUCGAUCCCAGCUAGCUUGCAUCCACUUGAUUAAUUAGCUGCUUUAAUAAGAACUUGGUCUUAAUGUUUUCUUUGUUGAACAAUAAGAAGUUCUUAUUAUUAAGCACCAAAAUAUUUGCAUAAUAUUAAUAUUAAUCUCUAAGCUUGGAUUUAAAAAGACAGAUAAGAAAAAUAUAACAAAGGAGCAGAAGGAGGAGAAGAUGAAGAAGAAGAAGGAGGAGGAGGAGGAGGAGAAGAAGAAGAAGAAGAAGAAGAAGAUCGAGGGUGGCUAGCUAGGUUAUGAGAGAGAUGAGUAGUACCAUGAAUCAGUUGCGUAUUCAAAGAGCUUCCCUUUGUUAGAGAAGACAAUCAAAGCAACCUGAGCAUCGCACAUGACAGAGAUCUCAUGCGCCUUCUUCAGCAACCCAGUUCUUCGUUUCGAAAACGUCACCUGCCUGUUGAUCUUGUUCUCUAUCCUCUUCAGCUGAACCCUACCCCUUCCCAUAUUGAUGAUAAAUAUUUCUACCUGAAUCAAUGACUACUUUCCUUUUCUAUUUCGAUCUUUCAGAUAAACACCCAAACAAGGUAAAGCCCCCAAAAAAAGAAAGACAACCUGAAACUAGAGAGGAAAAUUUAAUGGGUUGUUUCUUCUUCUAGCUUAGCCAUAUCUGAGAGGUUUGUCUGAGGAAAAAAAGUAAUGUGCAUAGUGUAUAUAUGGAAAAGGAAAAUAGGGGAAUUUAGGAUUUUAUUUAUUUAUUGGAAGCUUAAAAGCGGUUUUAAGAGGGUAGGGGUGGUUUUUGUGGAAAAUAAAAAAACCGGUGUGGCUUUAAGGAUGCGCUGUCCACUCCCCAUCGGAUAGUAGUACUAUGUGGUCGCUUCCCUGCGAAAUUGACAACUCGCACAUCAGUUCUGUGUAUGUUAUUGCUUUGGUUAACUAAGUACAGUAAAAGUAAUUAUUACAGCAAGGCCAUAUUUGGGACUUGGAAGGAUUUAAGUACUGAUCUAUCUGAUUAGUUAAUUUGUUGUUCAUCUUAUACUAUUGCAUUUGCAUGUUAGGAGAUGGGUCAUUUGUACUACGGGUGCAUGUCUGUUUUUGGUGAUGUUGAUUUAUCUGUUAAGAUAUUUAUUUUUCAUUAACCGACAAACUUUUACAUUAAACUAUCGUGUUCGACUUUAAAAAAAAUAAAUAUAAAAUAAAAAAAAUAAAAAAAUUAUAGUGUUCAAUACCACCGAAUGAAUUAACAUUUUACUAAGAAAUUAAAAUUUACACUCGUUUUACAAUUCACACUUGUGAUUUCUGUUGUAGUAAGUUUAAUUUUAUCUUUAGUAACAUGUGUACGUUUUAUCUAUUUAUAAAAGUCUUAACCAAUAAAAAGAAAGAAAAAUGUAUGUAGACCGGAAAAUUAAGUGUGCGGAUUUCAGUUUCCUGGCAAAAUAUUUGUAUAUUGUGCUUAUUAUUGUUUUUGUUAUGUGAUCCGGGUUUUUUCCUUUUUUUUAUCAAGUAAAUAACUUAAAUAUUACAACUUCGUGAGUCGAACUCAUAAUCUCUUACAUACUAAGGGGAGACUAUACCGUUAAACCAAAUAAUAUUGGACGAGGUUUUUUCCCCUUGUGUUGAAGGAAAUAAUCAUUUUCAUUUUUCAAUAUAUUCAUUGAAUAACUCCUAAGAAAAGUCAUGUGGAAGUAUUGAAUUGCCUUCCAAGCAGGUGUGGGGGUCUGUGGGAUAUAUGCAAUUUUAGUGAUUCAUGUCCCUAGUCCAUGUAUGGUAACCCUAUAAAUUAAACAGUAAACAUCGUAUAUGUCCGACCUACCGACAAUAUAUAAGGGAUUGGCCUACGUCUUGAACCCUCCAACCCAAAUUUAGAAAUCCAGCUACUUAAUUCACAAAACCUUAUCUCUUUAAUUAGGAAUUCUUGUCCCCAAGGUUAUGUAGCCACUCAAAUAUAACCAAGAACAUGCAUGAUGUGCGUCAAUAAUGUCUCAUAGUACAGGAGUUGGAUACCUUAUUUGUAUAUGAAUUGAAUUCUUUCCUAUGAUUUGGUUAUGUAUAUAUGAGAAUUAGUUUAUUUCUUUUUCGAAAUCUGAAAAGAUGAUGUCUUUGUUAUCUUGGCAUAAAUUGACAUUUCUCAGUGAAAAGAAGGAGGAGAUCGAGUAUCAUAUUGGGUAUUCAAUUGAACACCACCACCACUAUAGUUCACUAUCGACCAUAUUAGACAGCUCAAAGACUUCAAAGCAUCCAUGCAUUAUGAUUUAUGAGACAAAUCCGCAACGAGUCUAGGUUGAGACUGCUACAUUGUUCGAGUGAUCACGAUUGUAGCUGUGAUUAAAUCCAGAUAGAACACAAAUACAAACGGAGAUCGAGUAGUUUGAUCAUUCUUGAUUAUGAAACCGCAUAAUUAAGAUUUAUAGUUACCCUAUCGAUCUGCAGUGUUUAGUUGUUGCAUUGUAAACGCUCAAAGAAACCUUGAGCUGAUUGAGCAGUAGAUGGGUGGCCAUUUGGUAUACUUGGCUGAUUUGCUUUUAUUGAACCUCGUUGAAGACCUUCAUUACUCUCUUCCAACUGUGACCAACAUGAAGCAGAUUCAGAAUUAAAAUACAUUAAUAAAUCUACAUUCAAGUACAAGGUUCUGGCCAUAUAGAUAUAAAUAUAUACCUUCAUUCUCAAUUCAUCGUUUGCUUCCAGCAGCAGCUUUUCCUGCAGAUGAAAUUCUUGAAAGACUUACAUAGGUAACAUAACAGUCACACCUAGAUUCAUAUAUCGACCAAUGAUAACGUACAUAUUAAAGUAAUGUUAGGUGAAUUACUAAUUUCGAUCCCACCUAAAUUCUACCUUAUGUGACAAACAUCAAUGAAUGAAAUACUUUGAUAUGGUGAAUUGGUGAUUACAUUUUCUGCCACAUAUACAUGAAAUCGAGUUUUAUUAAUAUGGUUCAUCUAGUAUUAUGCAAAAGGUUAAGAUCAAUAUAUAUACCUUCUUUUGAAGAUCGGAAAGCUGUUCAAGUAUAUUUUGGCUCUGCAAUCAAAUAAGGGUAAUUAACUUGGAUAAAGUAUUUAUGUAGCUAGAUAUAGUGUCUUAGAAUGAUAUAUGGUUUCCAAGUAGCCAAACCAAAAACUUCGUUUUUGACGAUAACAACCACAAGGGCAGAAGAUAUACAAUCAACCUGGUUAACAAUUGAAACUCCAAACUCCCCAAUCGGUGGAAGAAUUCAGAUAUAUUCCACAAAAGUAAAUAAAUCAAUAUAAGCUACAGAUAUGAAAUUACCCCCGGUCACUUAGAAACUGAUGAAAUCCUUAAACAAUACGAUGCAAAGCUUAAAUGGCUUCACAAAAAUAACUGUUAUAUGCAACUAGAUUAGCCAUCCACAACUACUAUAUCCCGUAGUUAGGAAACAAAAGUGGAUACCUGUCUUGACCUAACUCGCUUCAACGACAAAUCUAGUUCAUUCUCAAGCUGCUGAAGCUCCUCUAUGUCUAAAUGUUCCAAAUUUUCCCCAUCAAGACGUCUAAGAACACGAAGUGAAAAUCCACAUAUAAGUAUUCAUUCCCAGUGAUUUUUCAUGUGAUCUAUCACUUAGGUACAUAUCAAUAAGGUGCAUAAUUAUGUGAAGAGUGUUCUAGUUUCAAAUUCUGUUGACAGAAUGCAUGUAUACAUGAGUCCUGGCUACAUCUAGAGUUCAAAUCUAUGAUCACUUUGGUAUCUUAAUCGAACUACCUCUGCGUGCGUUGUAGGACCUCUACUUUCGCUUUUAGGUUCUCAUAUUCUUCGUAUCUGCUCUGCUAGAUAACAUGAAAGCAGUUCUAUCAACAAUCAACAAGAGCAUAAAUAGGACUUGGUGUGUGGAGGAAAAUUUCAUUACCAACAUACAGCUAACAGAGAUAGCUAGAGAGGUUUUGUAUUUGUUAAGUAAGAAGAAGAUUUGGAAAAUAGGCAAGUGCUAAUUCGUAUAACCUAGCUAGCUAAUUAACCUGUGUAUCCUGAGCAGGUUGAGCAGCUUCCAGUUCUGCAUAAGUGUAUCUUUGAUAUUUCUCAAUUGUCUUCUCCAUGCUGAUAAUGAAAUUGGACAGAAAAUUAAACCACCAACAAUUGCAAUUAGAAUGAGGGCAUGCAGGAAAGUAAAUUAAUUAAGGAACAAACGGGUUGUUCAAAUUAGGUUAAUAAUCCGUAAAGUUGACAUCCUUGUGCUUUGUUGUAAACCACCAACAAAUGCCCUCAUUCAAAUAAUUAAAUAUGAUUAUAGUCAUAGUGAUCUAACAAAGAAAUAAUGUUGGCAUUCUCUCAUUGUUCACUUACAAAUGAUGGAUACUAGUAAAUAAAUCAUGGGAGGUCAAUUUAAUUUACACAUAAUUAGUUCGUGUAUAACAAAUUAAAAGCUACUAAUUUUGAUCAAGUUCUAAAUUCAAAUCCAAAAUUAACUAGAUUUGCAACAAGGAUUACUCGAUCUACACCCAAUUAAGUUAAACCACACUAGUUACCCCAUAUAUCAAAGAGGAUGUACAGUAAAUCAUUUGUAACAUAUGAUUUGAACGCUUGCAAGUGCCAUGCCAGUAUACAAAAAAGUACCUGAAUAGCCUGACAACCCUCACAAGUCACAAGUCACAACAGAAGUACUAUAGCUAACUGUAUAUAGAUACUUGUUUUUGCAGUAAGUUAGCAAGCUAGGAGUCAAAAACUUGCAUAUAUAUAAUUAUAUAUGAUGAGUUUAUUUAUUUUACUAAUUAUAUUUCUAGUUUUCUACAUGGGUGUGUAGUAUAUAUGUAUCUACCACUGGACUGAUCUCACAUCAGGUCAAAAGAAAAGAGAGAUUAACGUAGCUCCUUCAGAAGAAAUGAUCAUAAUUAAGCUUAAUGUAUAGGGUGACCAAAUCGAUCAAAAUCCAUUUCCCUAAACAAAUGUGCUGAAUUUCUUCUUGGGUACAGCAACUGAGCAAAGGAAAUUGAAACUCCUCACCUAUGACUCAUAGUAGGCUCAUACAUAUAUUUCUCAUGUAAAAUGAAAAAUGAAAAACCCAUCUCCAAAAUCAAAAGCAAACGAUCGAUUUCCCUAUUACAAUAAUAGACCACCCUUAAUCCUGAAGAGCUAGCAAGAUUAAUAUUAAUCCUCAGAUGUAAGUAUGUACUUAUAUAGAUUAAACUAUUAGGGGGGAGGACAGCAGAUCGAUGUGAAGCUGUAAAUACUGGUACCUGGGGCCGCUGCAGAACUCAUAGAGCUUGCCACGGCUGGAGAAGAUGAUGAGAGCAACCUCUGCAUCACAGAGAAUGGAGAGCUCACACGCCUUCUUCAGCAACCCGUUCCUUCUCUUGGCAAAUGUUACUUGCCGAUUUAUCUUGUUCUCGAUCCUCUUCAGCUCCACCUUCCCUCUUCCCAUUUCGACGAUGAUCAACAGCUACUGCUUUAGCUAGCUUCUAAUAUUUUAUUAUCUAUAAUAUACUAUUUGACAUGGUACUAGGUUUUAGUUUUCGCUUAAUAUAUUCUUCUUCUCUGAGGGUUAAGAUAAUAAAGAGCAGAAUAAGACGUUAGAAUUAUACGUACGUACGGUCUUCACCGGAAAAUCUACGGUCUUAUGCUGGGCACGUUAUCAACAAUUUACAAUAUCUGACGAUUCUAAACUCUGAAAGCGUAUUAUACAGGUCCAUCAUACAGCUCCCGGCCAGUUUUCUCUUCCGGUUCAAUACUGACGAAGAUUGGUCACUUUUGUCUCUCCUUUUCAGUCUCUUUAUUAAAACGAGAAUCAUUAUUGUCUGCAGCUGCUUAUUACUACAAAUAUGACAGCUAGCGGUGUCAACUCCGACUGCACAUUCCCAGCUUUAGGGUUUUUACGUGUCGAUCAGACAUAGCAUUGGGGAAGCUCGGGACCUUGGUGCAUGUACUUUUGUGUAUCCAGACGAUUUUGCCCCUGCGUUUACAGUUCAAGCACGCCUGCAGACUGCAGUUCAACAAUUGUUCCCCUUACAAAAGAGAGUAGAAGCAUAUAUGCUUUUCCAAUCUUUUAGUUGGUUGUGUUUCUUUUGGUGGGUACGUGUUGAGUCUUGGCGAGAAUGAGGAGGAUAAUAUCCUGGACGAAAUUGGUGAAUAAAUCUCGUUGCUCCGGUGAGUAAACGUACGAUUUUACCUUAGGUAAACCAUGUAGGACAAAUCAAUGUUGUUGUAUAGUAGUGCAGUGAAAAACAAUGGGAUAGACCAUCAAUGUGGUACUAAUUUAAUUACUUGUCCUCGAUCGACGAUGUGGGUUUCAUCCUAAAAACCUCCAUGUAAGAAACAGGGUAUCUGUUUAUAGUCCUAUAUUGCAACUAAUGGGAUCUCCAAUUAUCAAAUGGAAACUGAGACGGAGUUUACGUACCCUGCUGCUUCUGGAAAAGUAGGCAAUGAUCAUUCACAUCCCAACUUCGUAGUAGUACACACUAGUAUGUAUACCUCUACGCAUAUACGUAUAAGUAUGGCAGUGUGUACGGACUUGUUAGGGUCGGGUAUUUGACCGCCGGUAAUACGCUUGUGAUGUGAUUGGUUGAUAGGUAAAGAAGCUUGCGUGUUGACGAGUCAAGACGCGAUUGAGGAGGAUACGCUGGCUACGUGUCGAUUGCUAACCGCUUCGAACAGUGGCUCGUUAUGAUUGGGCCUAGGCCCAAAACAAAAGCCCGAAAAUUGAAAGGUUUUCGUUCUUCUUGCCCUACUUCCUCUCAUGCAUAAUUGACGCAUGAUAUGGAGUUAUGGUCUUAUGGACGAUUCGAUCUUUUUUCUUUCAUUUUGGGAGCAAAUUUUAUGAGCCAUGUUAACCUCAAUGAUGAGAUUGAUCAGGUUAGUGUUCUUGUGUUUUUUUUUUUUUUUUAAUGUUUCUGGUUGGGCGUUUUCACCUAGUUAGAAUGUGCAACAAAGCCGCUCCAUCAUAAUGUGUAGUGGCGGAGCUACUUGAAGACCGAAGGGAGACAAUUCAAUUUACUCGCAUGUUUAGUCGAUAAUUGACGGAUGUGAUGUGCUAAUUUUAACAUCAAAAGGAUGAGGUUUUGAAAAUUAUUGCAAUGUCUAUAUAUGAAGAAGAUGUGUUAUCGUUUUCACGGAAACACAUGAGGACCCAAAACAAGGAGGAGACCAGAGUUGUGUUCUCUUUUGGAACAUCUUUUGGAACAACACUGGAGCGAGCAAUGACUUCCAUGCAGCUUGAAAAAACAGGAAUGCGAUAUAUAGCUACCAAAGAAUUUUCUGUGAUAGCUAAAGGAUCGAGCACUAUAAGUGUAGCUAAUAUAGCCACGUCUAAUGUAGCCACUACAAAUACUUUGAUUGGUUCGAUUCCAGACAAAGAAUGAGAGAACUCAAAAGAUAAAUGUUCCCAAUUUCUCAUUGAUCAUAUUAUAAGAUAAAUGUUCAUUCCUCUGCAGUAGGAUUCAAGUUGUUAUUAUUAGGAUUGGAAAAAAUGCAUGCAUGUAUAUCCACUCUUAUCUUAUCUAGAUCGCAUUUUUGCUUCUCUUUAGCGGAGAAUAUAUAGCUGGUAAGCUAGCCCAGAGAUCAUUGAUUGAGAACACAUACUCCCUACCCAGAUUUAUACUCGAGGACUGAGGAUAUUGCUUGCCAGCAAUUUGGUACACUCAUUUAGAUCGACAUUGUGGCCUAUAUAUAUAUUGGGUGAGAGUUGAGACUUGGCUAGGGGACAUCUUAGAGGUCCUGGUCCAUACUGUCUUUGCAAUCACAAAAGAAGUUGGGGCCGUUGUUCCCCCAGUCUCAUAGGCUGAGCCGCGGAGGGGGUUAUCUUCAUAUUCUUAACAUCGAGAGCCUACACAGAAUUAGGGUUCUUCAAUUUGGUGCAUGCAUAUACUUAACACAGUUCACAUCUACUGUUGAUCUUAUUGUAUGUUGUACCAAUAAAUUUCCAACCAAUUAAUCCGAUUUAUUGUCACCGAUCAAUAAUGAAGAGAUCAUCAAAGGAUUCAUGAAUCCGACCAUCGAAGAUGAUUAUGAUCGAUCGAAUGGAGCCGGAGGCAUCAGUACGUUGUUAAUUAACAAAACUGAACACAAUAUCGAUCGAAUUUGUUUACAGAAACACUUACAAAGAGAAUCUGUAGGACCAAUUACAUAUUAAUCAUUAUCGAAGGUUUAUCAUUAAGAUAGAGGAAAUAUCUGAUGAUGCGACUAACGUUCACCAUUCGACAAUCCCAGAUCGGCAGAAGUUUAUAUACAUGCAUUAGCUAGAUCGGAAAGACAUGGACGAAAUUAACAAAAUAGUUGUACUGAAAAGGGCAAGUGGAGAGAUGGGACUGAUGGGAAAACGAAGACCAUGGAAGGUAACUUUAGGAAUGCAUGGUGCACAACGAAAGAAAGCUACUGAACAUGUUGAAGAUAAAUCUAACAUGAUUGUACAGGAUUAGCUAAGAGACUAAAUAUGCAGACGCAGCAAUCCUUUGGCAAAAUGUGAGUGAGUGGCGACAAGCAUAUAGGCAUGUUUAUCGUUUCAGACAUUUGAUGCAGCACCUUUGGAUCGUAAGUAGUGGACCUUAGAUAUGGGGCAGUAUAUGGAUUCAAGUUCGAUCAUCCGGAAAUUAAAUUGUCUGUGAUUUUGAUCCUUGUUGGCCUAAUUAACUAGGGCUUGUUUUGGCAAAUAAUGAUUGAUAUAUAGCUAGGGAAUGAUUAAUAGCUGCAUCAAGGUGAUGAACCUACGUCCAACAAGAUAAGAAAGAACAAGCUAGAGGAGUUCAUUAUCCUUUUGAUUCAUUGGGGUAAUGAUUUAUAGCCAUUGCCUUAUACUUUUGCGACCAUUGGUUUUAAUAGGGUAAACACCCUCGGGCAAGUUCUGUCAUGGUGCCUAUCAGAUAAUGCUCCUUUUUUCUUCCUUCUGGCUAAUACAUGCAUAUUAUUGAACUGAGUCUUGUUACAUGGAUAAUUAAACAAGCGUUCAUUACUAACGAAGAACUAAUAUCGCCUUUUCCUAAUUCAUUUCGGCUUAAACCAACGGCAAACCGCAAACCAUUGCCCUAUUUCUGCUACACAUCAAGAUCAUCUUAGGAAUGUUGAAAAUCUUCUUCGGUAAUGAAUAAAUCGCAGUUGGUCGUAAAUGAUGGAUACUGACAUCAUGCUCAUGAACAGUCUAAGCCUUCAACAUACGAGUGUUCACAACCAAACGCACGUACGUACUGCUGGGUACCCCCAAACAGGCAAACAUCAAGGAAUGGGGGAUUGCCGUUGUGCGGUGUUUUUAUGGGCCAAGUCAUAGACUAAAACCGAAGGAGUUCAAAAGGAGAAAAAGAAAAAUAUAUGAAAGCUGCUCAUGUCUAGCUCUUUACGUAUCAAAAGGCUACUCCACAAUCCUACUUUUCUCAUUUGUGGGACUUUGACAAUAGAUUACACGCCACAAUGCAUUUUCCUUGUGUUUUUGCUUAUUUGCUUUAGUUUCUUUGGAUUAAUUGUAGACUUCAACGUAAUUAGAGUAGUCUCCGGACUUCUCUAAGCUUGACCUAGUAUGGUCGUUUUGAUUAAUAUCAAUGGAGUAAUUCCGUUAAACGUCAUACCAAAAAAAAAAAAAA